CUCCUUGGUUCUGGCGUUCACAUAAAUAAAGAGACAAACAUGUAUGAUUUAUAACUCCAAAUUAACCAACCCAACUGAUUCAGCAUGUUUAGUCAUUUAAUCUUUGUUCUUAGUACUACCUACAUGAUCCUACACUCAAAAUCAUAUGAGCUAAAAUAUUACACAUUCAAUCUUUGAGAGAUAUAAAGAAAAAUACAUAUACAUAGUUAGAUUAUCUUUCCAUAAGGUUGAGCGAUCUGAUCUGACAAAUGUUUUAAGUGCUACACUCAUGAACUUAUCAUCCAUCAAUUUUGUCUUGCUCACUAUGCUUAAGGUUAGAGAAGAACAAAUACACUUUUGGUUCUGUUGUUGUUUUCCACCAAUAGGGCCCAUGCACUUGAUCUCUGCCUUGUCUCUAUGAGCAGGUACACUUCGAGCAAAACAUGGAGGAGUUUUACAACUCCCAGAUUCCACCAAGUGUAGGACCUGGAUCUACGAGCACAAACACACUGAGCAGGAUGCUACCAACACCACACUUCGAACUGCUGGGCAAACGAAGUACAUGGGUGACACCGUAUCAAGAGGUGCAGACAUCAAGGUGCACACCUGAAUCAAAUGACGCACCUGAAGAACAAACACGGUGAGAAGUCUUGUCCAGAAGACUUAAAACAUUGAACCCUCGCCGAAAGAUCCAUAUUUAUCCUUUCUGCAUUUUUCCUUAAAGUAUUUACUUUCCUUAAAUGGCUUGUUAGUUAGUCAUGCUAUCUUGAAAAGAAAAUAAAAAUGUUAAAAAUAGUAAGCCCCAUGUGAGUAUGCUCGUGGCAUAAAACCCAUAAGUACAUUCACUGCGGUGGCGUAAAAAAUAAAUAAAUAUAUUCCUGUCCUACAAAAAUGAAAAUAUAAAAAUAAAUUUAUGAUCCUACCAAAGAGAGUAAUAUUUAUUAGGGGAAGCUCAACAUGAUAAUGGCUAAGAGAUUUUAUGCUAACACUAGUUCCACAAUGCUUUGUUGUCUAUUUGAGCUCCACAGAAUUCAAGGAUCAAAGAAGACUAGCAGACGGAGGACAUUCUAAUCGCUGUCAAGGUGCUGCCGACAUUCAAAUACACCUCCUCCACCUGCUAGCUAGAUCAGAAGAAAUGACGUCACAAUCCAGCUUGGGGGAGAGCACCCCCAUUUAUCCAGCUAAGUGUUUCUACUCUUGUUUAUACUUUACUCAAAUAAUAAAAAGAUGCAUAAUCAUAAAAAGCCAAAUAAAGAUUUUGUGCUUAUAUAUAUCUUUGCUUAGUUUGCUAAAUAAAUAAAUAAAUAAAGUUUGCUAUGAACCCUCAUGAUAAGCUCUCACAUGGAAAUGAUGAAUAGUUUCUCUGUCAUGACUAGUUCUCAAAAGUAAAAUCUCUCUCAAGUUUAGGUAUGACUGUUAUGAAUUAAGACCUGCUCUAAACCUGAACUUGUGGGAAGAGUACUUGAUCUAAAGUCUAAGUCGUUAACGGAUAUGAUAUGGGAAGGUUGAGUUCUAUUUAUCUGUUCCUAGAGAUGCUAGAAUUCUAGAGAAUUUUAUCUUUGAAAAUCUUUAAAAUUUUGCAUGAUGAGUUCCUAUAUGAUGAGAGUUUAAAAUCCAACCACAGCCAUAUAUACAUGCAUAUUAGACUAUGAACCACACAUUUACUUUUUACUGCUUAUAAGCAUUGAGUGUGGUCAAGCUGUGUAGACCCUUAGGAGCUUAUCAUGCGAUUAAAAUCAAGAUUCACUUGCACGUUCACUCAUACAUGCUGCUUCUACUCCGGAAGUACGCAUCCACAUACAUCCACUCCUUUCCAUCUCCAGAUUCACCCAAAAUUAUUCUACUCCUAUCCAGGAGAGAAUAGCUAAAAAUAUUAUCCUAUUCUUGUUAUUCCCCGUGAAAUAAAUGCUCUUGAUAUUUUGGUUACUACCAUUUGCUACAUUAUUCUAGGAGUGUGAGUGCUCGGAAAAAAAAUGAGGAAAUAAAAUGGGGCAAGUGCUCGGAACCUCGAAGAAAAGAAAAAGUGAGACGAGAGGUAAAAAUGGACAAGUGUCCGACAGUAGAAUUAGGGGUACAAGAUACCCACCUAAGAGAUAAUAAAUAUAUAUAUAUAUAGAGCAUCUCAUUUCCUUCAAAAACCUUCAAAGUGCAAGAAAGAUAUGUAUCCCCCCAAAAGAGCAAAAGUAGAAUUAGACUUUCACCAAUGUUUUCACAAUUAUCACCAUCAUCACCAUACACCAUUCAUUCGCCACGCAUGCACAUCUUGAUUUGACUUAUUGACUUGUUUCUCUGGAUCCAUGGUUUGACUAUGCAAUAAAUGUUUUGUAAGUAUGUAUUAGCUGUCUCCCACCUAUGAGCUCCAGAUAUCAAAACCUUAUUAGAGUAGGGUGAGAGAGAAGGCAAUAUCAUUAUGCCUCAUACCAUAAAUACUACAUACUUUGAGAGAAGGCGUAUAUCAUCACUGCCUUGGCAAAGAUCCAGAAAUACCACAAAAGAGAGACUAGAGAGAGUCAUACAAAGAAUCUCUGAGUUUUUAUUGUGAAAAUCUACAAAAACUCCAGAGCUAUAGUUGAUCAAAGAACAAGAGACAUGGUGCUUGACUUGACCAUUCUAUCUUUUAACUGCUCAAGACACAAGUGACGGUUGCAAGCCCCAUGGUGGAAGGUAAUAUGAGUAAUUUUAAAUCUUAAUAGUUUACCGUAACCCAGAGAUGAGAUCUUGUUUGAACGCAUGUGUACCUUAAAGGCAUAAAACCACUGCAAAAAAAACUCUUGAGUCCAUCCUUGCUCAAGGACGAGCAAGAGAUAAGCUUGGGGGAGUUGUUGACGGUCCUUAAGUACCAAAUAUAAUCAUCAAAUAAAUAAAGAAAAGGAUCCAAAUGCAACCAACACCCGAACUUAGGGUUUUAUCUGACAGAAAUCCAUGAGUUUUGGUGUUUGUCUAUUUCUGCAGGGGGUUAUCAGGAAAUAUGGAGAGAAGGCCCACAUGUCGGGUUUACAUAGAGAUAUUAACGUGCCGCGCAAUUUUCUAUCAUCUAGAAGACUCCAGAAGCCACGGGAACAAAGCGAAAGCCGAGAGGGCUCAGGGAUAGGGCACCCGCCCAAUUCCUUAGGGCGCCCGCCCACCUAUUUCGGCCAAUCACGUUCAACUUCGCAGAUUAUGCUCCACCGACCUAAAGGAUCAAGAAUAACAGUUCAACCAAUGUCGGUUUGAUCCGACGGCCCAGAUUCACUUGAGGGGACUAUAUAACCAGACCCCCUGGCCCCUGGAGGAGGCACCCCUUGAUCAUUAUUCAUUAUUCAUAGACAGAGCAAAAGCUAGGGUUUAGAGAUGAGACCUCUCCUCUCUUCUCUAAACUAGAGUAGAUCUAGAUAGUAGCGAGAUGGAGAGCGAGGGAGGAUUGGAGGAGAGGCCGGCCUGUCGGUUCUUCCUCCGAUUGUACUUUGUCAUGAUCAAGCUCUGACCAAGCUUGCUCAUGAGAUGACUCUAGUAAUCUACUUCUAAUUCAUUAUGCAAUUACUAAUUAUGUAUGUUCUGGUUCACAGCUCUUUUGAGUACUUUAAUCUAUAGGACGCUAUACGUGAGAGUUGUAGUAUAGGUAUAAGCGUGGUGCUUAAACCUAGAUUACUUGUGGAUAUCCCCUGUCUAGCCGGAUCGUGUGGUAGGCCGUGUAGGUGACAGUUACGUUGGUCCCCUGUAGUCCACCUCUUGUUGGCAGGACGGGUAGGGUUUAUCAGCCUAUGGAUAAGCAUCCUUUGUAGUGUAUUCUUAUCACGUGGUUCGUCCCAGACAUAGACAUACCCCUUUGAAGUAGAGAAACCAUAGUUAUCGUCUCUAUUCUCCUACCAUCGCCCAUAUAAUAGAUUGCUCUACUCUCUAUUCCCAUAUUAUCACCUAUUGUUAUCUUACCUUUAAUAUUGUUCUUAUUCAAUUUUACCAUCUUUCAUAUUUACACCUAUCUAUCUAUCUUGGUUAAGUUAGAGCGUAGUUGGUUCUCCCGUUUCCCUGUGGAUACGAUAAAACCUUUAACCGGGUAAAAGCUACAGCGGUAUCCGUGCGCUUGCGGAUUUAUCUGUGUGCGUAUAAAUACCAUAGUACACUAUAGUGCCAUGUUGGUGAUGACAACCUAGUAUUCAAGUGGUGUUAGCAAGUGUCAACAGCUGUCACUAUCACGAACUACCCCGCGAUCUGGCAUAUUGGGUACAAUCGCAGAUAAAUACGGUAUAAGCACCACGCCUACACAAUAUCUAUCAUUUACCCAUGGAUUCGAUGGAUAAACGCUAUACAAUCCUAAACAUGUAUAUAGAUCCAAUCUAACUAAGCCAAGUAUAUAACUAUGAUAAACUAAGAACAAUAUAAUCUUGAAUAUAAACAAGUAGAGCAAAGUCAUAAGCAAUAUAUUGAAUUAGAACAAAGUCAUAUUCAUAAUAUUGAAGAACAUAGAUGAACAAUUAGAAGAACAAUUAGAGAAUUACCAAGAAUCCUCUUGACAGAUCCGGAAACCAAUCGAAGAUUGACUCCUUCUAGUUCUAAUCCUAUGUAGCUAUGCUAAUCUAGAUGUCUAAUUGAUGUGGUGGCUCUAGGCUUGAUUAGAGGCCUCUUCUCCCUUGAGGAAUAAUGAAUUAAGGUUGAGAGGCUCUCUCCUCCAGGGGCCAGGGGGUCUGGUUUUAUAGUCCUUCCAAGUGAAUAUGGGCUGUUGGAUCAAACCGACAUUCAUUGAACGGUUAUCCUUGAUCCUUUAGGUCGGUGGAGCGUAAUCCCGAAAGAGAGUUCUGAUUGGACUCUAUAGGGGGCGAGCGCCCUGGUCUCCUGGGCGGGCGCCCAGGGCUAGGCCACGUUUCGCCUCCGCUUCGUUCCCGUGGCUUCUGGAGUCUUCCACAUGUAAGAUAAUUGCGCGGCACGUCGAUAUCUCUAUGUAAUCCCAACAUGUGGGCCUUUCUUCCAUAUUUCCUGAUAACCCCGUGUAGAAAUAGACAAACACCAAAACUCGUGCAAUUCUGUCAGAUAAAACCCUAAGUUUGGAUGUUGAUUUCAUUUGGAUCCUUUUCUUUGUUUAUUUGAUAAUUAAAUUUGAUACAUAAGGACCGUCAACAAACUCCCCCAAGCUUACCUCUUGCUCGUCCCUGAGCAUGGAUAAUCUCAGCGAUGGAUCAGAAGUUGUUGCAAUACCUUUAAAAGUUGACGGUACACAUGCUUCUAAAUAAGGUCUCAUCUCUGAGUUAGAGUAAACUGUCAAGACUUAAAACUUACUUACUUUAACUUUCACCAUGGGACUUGUAACCAUCUCUUCUGUCUUGAGUAGUUAAAAGAUGGAACGGUCUAGUCAAGUGCCAUGUCUCUUAUUCUUGAUCAGCUAUAGCUCUGAAGUUUUUGCAGAUUUUCAAAUAAAACUCAGAGAUUCCUUGUAUGACUCUCUUAGAUCUCUCUUUUGUGGUAUUUCUAGAUCCUUACUAAGGCAGUGAUGGUAUAUGCCUUCUCUCAAAAAGUAUGUGGUAUUUGUGGUAUAAGGCAUAGUGACAUUGCCUUCUCUCUCACCCUACUCUAAUAAGGCUUUAAUAUCUGGAGCUCAUAGGUGGGAGAUAAAAUAUACAUACUCACAAGACAUGUAUUGUAUAGUCAACCCAUGGAUCCAAAGAAACAAAAUCAAUAAGUCAAAUCAAGAUGUGCAUGUGUGGCCAUUGAAUGGUAUAUGGUGAUGAUGGUGAUAACAAUGGUGAAAGUCUAAAUCUUUUGCUCUUUUGAGGGGAUACAUAUCUUCCUUGCUUUUUGAAACUUUGUGAGGAGAAUGAGAUGCUCUAUAUUUUUUUUUUCUUUCCUCUUAGGUAGGUAUCUUGUACCGCUAAUUCUACUGUCGGACACUUGUCCAUUUUUACCUCUCGUCUCACUUUUUCUUUUCUUUCGAGGUUCCGGGCACUUGCCCCUUUUUAUUUCCUCGUAUCUUUUUUUUAGAACACUCAUCUCAUGAAAUAAUAUAGCAAGUGGUAGUAACCAAGAUAACUUGAGCAUUUAUUUCACAGGGGAAAUUAGAAAUGUUUUUGGCUAUUCUCUCCCGGAUUAGGAGUAGAAUAUUUUUGGGUGGUUCUAGAGAUGGAAAUUGGUGGAUAUAUGUGGAUGGUACUUCCGGAGUAGAAGCAGCAUGUGUGAGUGAACGUGCAAGUGAAUCUUGAUUUAACCACAUGACAAGCUCCUAAGGGUCUACACAGCUUGACCACACUCAAUGCUCAUAAGUAGUAAAAGUAAAUGUGUGGCUCAUAGUCUAGCAAGCAUGUAUAUAUGGCUGUUGUAGGAAUUUAAACUCUCAUCAUACAGGAACUCAUCAUGCAAUAUUUUAAAAUUUUCAAAGAUAAAAUUCUUUAGAAUUCUAGAAUCUCUAGGAACAUAUAAACAGCAGCUCAACCUUCCCAUAUCAUAUCCGUUAACAACUUAGACUUCAGAUCAAGUUUUCUUCCCACAGGUUUAGGUUUAGAGCAAGCUUUCAAUUAUAACAGUUAUGUCUAAACUUGGGAGAGAACUUCAAAAUUUAAAAAUUAGGCAGAACAACUAUUCAUCAUAUCCAUGCUAGAGUUUUAUUAUUAAGAUUCAGUUUAGCAUACCCACUUUAUUUAUUUAUUAAACAAACUAGCAAAAGAUAUAUAUAUGCACAAAAUCUUUAUUUGGUUUUCCAUAGUUAUGUAUAUCUAUAUUUUAAUAUAAUAUAAGUAUAAAAAUUGAAAUACUUAGCGGGACAAAUGGGGGUGCUCUCCCACAAGCUGAAUUUUGACGUAAUUUCUUUUGAUGUAGCUAGCAGGUGGCAAAGGUGUAUUUGAAAGUCGGCAGUAUCUUGACAGCGAUUAGAAUGUCCUCUGUCUACUAGUCUUCUCGAUUCUUAAAUUCUGUGGAGCUCAAAUAGACAACAAAGCUUUGUGGAACUCUUGGCAAGGCGUUCGGUGUUUUUAAGUCCUCCGAAUGGGACUCUCCAUUUUCUAGUUGUCCUAGGAUUCGUUGGGUAGCGUAGUCGGUGCUUCCAGCAGCGCCUCCUCUUCAUGUAUGGUUAUCUUAUCUCUCCACACCUGACUUGGUGCUACGGUCUCCUCUAGAUAAUUCAGUUUAAACUGAAUGUCUUCUGACCUUACCACUUCUCCUUCAUAGUCUGCCCAUCCGUCCUUGAUAAUUUCCCUCCUGUGGUUGCGGUUGCGUCGUUUUCUUCUUGUCCUGACCUGCUUAGAGUCUUCAACGAUAUAGUUAGGGUGAGUAAAAUAGCGGCGUACCUUCUCUAAGGGGAAGUGCAUAUGGACUUCUCCGGUUCCAAUGUAGAUGAUUGCUUUAACGGUACUGAGGAACGGUCUUCCAAGGAUGACGGGUGGAUCGUAUUCGUCUUCUCCCAUGUUAAUAACCUGAAAGUCUGUGUAGACAAAAUGAUCGUCUAUUUUGACAGGGACAUCAGCUACUAUUCCUUUAACUUCUCGAAACGUCUGAUCUGCCAUCUGGAGCUGAAUGUAUGUUGGUUUUAGGGGCAUGGUUCCGAACAAGAGCCGAUAGGUGACUGCGGCCAUUAUGUUGACGCCCGAUCCGGUGUCGCAAGUCGUCUUGAAGAAGUUGUAUCCAUUUAUGGAGCAAUAGAUGCUUGGCAUUCUUAGGUCAUCCUUCUUGGUCAAAAACGGUGACUUAAGUCGAUGAUCUUGACCUCCUUGAACUGCAGUGACCAUCUUAGCUGAUUCGGUCCACACUUGCUUGUUCCUCUUCCUCCUGUUGGUCCUCUUCCUUGAUUCACGUCUGGAUUGAUCUGGGAUUUGUGUAGUCUUGUUCUUGAAGGAAAACGUCUCCUUCUUCCCUUUGAUGUAGAAACUGAUCUUGGCAGCACUAGCGUAGAUGACAGCUGCGGAGGUGUUUAAGAAUGGCAUCCCUAAGAUGAUGGGUGCCCUCUCAUCAUUACCGGUCUCUAUCACCACGAAGUCUGCUGGGGCAUAUAAGGUACCAACUCGGACACAAAGGUUCUUCAAUAUUCCUUUUGGAAAACUUAUCGUCUGAUUUGCAAACUGCAAACACAUGGUUGUGUCUUAUAAAGGAUAUGUAAAGAAUUUUUCAUAGAUUACCCUGGGCAUAAUGUUGAGACUAGAGCCAAAGUCGCAGAGUGCUUCCGGGAAGUCCACCAUGCCGAUGGAGAUCGGGAUGACGGGGCGUCUUGGAUCGCCUCUCUUGACCGACAGAAGGUCAGUAGUAACUUCAGUGACGGGGUUACUUCAGUAGUUACCUGCAUCAAACAUGUCUACAAGAUUUGCAGAUUCUAAUCCUUCUAGUUGUGAUGGUAUACCGGGGUUAGAAGCAGGAACAGGAGCAGCUAUUUGAUUUAAUUGAGAUUCAAUCGUUUUAUUAAAGCUAAUUUGAUUCUUGAUGGCACUAGAGAAGUUAUCCAUUCUAUUGUUUAUAUUUUCUAGCAUUUUAUCAUUAGAUGCCAAUUUCUCAGAUAGGUUAUGCAUUAGCUUUCCUUGAUUAGACACUAACUCUCUCAAAAUUGGAAAAUUAUUAUUAUUGUUGCAAUAAUUAUUACCUUGAUAAUUACCUGAGUUGUUAGGCCUUUGUUGAUUCCAACCUUGAUUUUGUUGAGGACGGUUGUAGUAGUUGUUGUUGUUAUUGUUGAUGUAGUUCACAUCCUCAAGUAUCUCAUGGCAGUGAUUGCCUGAGUGUCCAGUAUCUCCACACUCCUCACAAGUCAUGUGAGAGUCGUAGAUGUGCAUAACUUCUUUCUUAUCUCCAGCUCUAUCAUCGAACUUCUUCAUGAGCAGGUCUAGCUUUGCAAACAGCAUGUCUACCUCCUUGAGCUGAUGCAUACCUCCACCUCUCUUGCAUGUUUGGGUCCUCUCUUCAUUCCAGCUUUGGUUGGACACCAUCUUCUGCACAAGAGCUGCGGCUUGUGAUAUGGUAAGUGAUAGGAAUGCUUCUCCAGCUACAGCAUCCAUGGUUUCUCGGGCACUGUUGCCGAGCCCAUGAUAAAACGUCUGCAUCAAUAGCCAACGCUCCCUUCCAUGAUGGGGACAUUCUAGGAUGUAGUCUUGGAAACGCUCCCAUGCUUCUGGAACACAUUCAUCAUGUUGUUGCCCACGAAGAGCAUUGGUCUUGCCCAUGGGAAAGAAUUUAGCCAGAAAGUUCGUGGAGCAGAGUGCCCACGUAGUAUUCUUCUCCUUUGUAGCGUAAAACCACUGCUUCGCUCUUCCUAAUAGUGUUGGAGAUGAGCACUAGAAAUGCUUGUUGAUAUUUGGGAACGCAAUAAGGAAUUGAUCCGCAAGCGCACGGAUAUCGGUGAGCACUUCACCUGGGAAAUUAUCCAGAGUAUCGUAUUUAUUUUUUUACCACUAGGAGAAAGAGUGCAUCUGACUAACCGGUCUAUUACUACUAACCCUUUAGGCUACAAAGAAUGUCUCUUGAUGUGAGUGAUAAAUAGAGAAGACUGCAACCGUAGUCUUCUUCUAACCUUGGUAAGGAUGAUCUACUGUUCUAUUGGGGAGGCUAACGGAAUCUAGACACCACAAAGGAUGUUCAACCCGCACCUAUUGUAACACCCCAGUGUUAUGGUUGCAUCAAGCAUGUGCAUAGCAUGAGCAUCAUCAUUUACUCAAAGCAUAUCAUGAUCAUCAUCUAUCUUGAGCCAUGUCAUUCUAUGCAAAAAUGUGUUUUAAAUUGAUUAAAUAGGCUUCCUAUGCUUAUGUUUGAGUGAACAAUGCUUGUGUUUGUGCUUAAUGCCUUGGUAAUUAGUUUAUCUAUGCUUAACUUGAUCUUGGGAACAAUGUUCAUGUUGGUCACUUUUCCAAAAUAUGCUUCUAAGUCAUACUUAUGAAAAUAGGCCCUAGAAACCUCUUUUGCUUAGGCUUUUAAAAAGUGUUUCAUAAAAUGUUUGCAUGUCAAAACUUUCUACAGCAAAGUUGUAGCAAAUUUUAUAGGGAACAAAAGUUGUUUUAUGGCCAUCUCAUGAAAAUGAACACAAAUAGCUCAAAAGUGGUCCACAAGGCAGAUUUGGGGCUGUUUUCAACACUUAUAAAAUGUUUGCAUGUCAAAACUUUCUACAACAAAGUUGUCCACAAGUCCUGGGUGCUUUGCAGUUUGCUCGAUCGGUUUUGUAAACUCUAUAUCUUUCAAUCCAGGCCGAUCUGGCCUUUGCUCUAGUUGACAAAGUUGUAGAUCUCGCCUAGUACUCCAAGUUUGUCAACUACGCCAUCGCCUAAUUCGCUCUGGUUUGGGAGAUAAUCGCCGGUGAAGUGGCUCUAUCAGACGAGCACCCUUUCUUCUGAAUCGGGCCUGACCUCGUCGACGUGGCCGACCGCCGGCAGAGCUCCGUCGCCAUUUGUCGCCCGUACGCCGCGUUUGGCCCCGCUUGUCAGCUUCCGUCGCGUGCAUGACCUCCACGGCGACGCCCCGAGCGAGUGGACGCGUCCACUUCGCUCUGCCUCGCCCUCUCUCGCCUGAACCACGUCCGCAGCGAGCUCUCCGCCGCGAGCUCACUCCGGCGAGCUCGUGUGCGCUCCUCUCUGCGUCUCCAUCCACCAAACUCCACCCAAAGCUCCGUCGUGAGCCGCUCUCCAAGCUCCACCCUCUAACUCGCCGAGAAACCCACCGGUGAGCCGACAUUCCCUUCUUCCCCCAAAUCGGUCCACCGUGACCUUCUUCUCUGGCGAACUCAAUGCCGAGCGCUGUGAGGCUUCUCAUCAUCUUUGGUUAGGUCCUAGAGGUAGCUUAGGUUCUUAGCGAGCUUUUGCGCCACCUGGUGGACGCUCUACCGGGUUCUCCGUCGCCGGACACGGUGCGCAGCGCCGCCGUGUUUCCGCCGGAGUUGGGUGCUCUCGUGGCCAGCGCGUUCCACGGGGAUCCAGGCCAAGCCGCGUACCUAGGAAGCUUCGCCGUAGUCCGUUGGUGCUGUAGAAGGCCUUAGGUCGCGCUCUACCGACCUGAGGGCUCUGGCGUAACGCCGGGCACCUCCGCCGAGCCGCCAUUGCCGACGGUGAGCCCCUUCCGGUGGCUCCGCCGUGGCAUAAGUGGGGUCAAUCGAGUCGUUAGGGUUCGGGGAUCACGUUGAUGCCCUGGGUUUGGCCGGAGACCUCGCCGUCGCGGAGAAAUCGCCGGCGAAGAUCGCCUCGGCCGUGAGGAAGAAGAGCCUGACAGAUGGGACCCAUUGUCAGCGACUCUCUCUUUCCCUCCUUUUCUUUUAUUCAAAAUCCUGAUUUUUGGCUUUCUUGCAAAAAUCAUAUCUCCUGUUUCUGAGAUCCAAAAAUUGUGAAACAAAUUUUGUGUUGUUUCUUGAGAUGGCUACUAUUUAAUAAAAAUAUAAAAUGAAUCAUGUUUUCUGAGAAAUUAUUUAUUAAGGAUUUAAUCUUAUUAUUCUUGGAUAAAUGCAUAUCUCUGGUUAUACUGCUUAGUUUGCUUUGAAAAUUUUAUGGUGGUCUCUGCAUGGCAUUGGAGUGCUCUGAUAAUUAUUUCAUGAUUUUAGGAGCACUGUUGUUGUGAUAUGUAAUUUGUGUUUGAAAUAUGGCUUGUUUCUUUAAUUAAAUCACAUAAAAUAAUUGGUGUUUAUGCUGGUGCUCUAUUUUGGUGGUAAACUUGUUUAUGGUAUUCCUAAGAUGUAAAUAAUCUGAAAUCUGUUGUUUGACACUAUAUAAGUCAUGUUUAUGAAUUUAUGAAAUAAAUGCCUUGAUACUUGUUAAAUGCAUAUCUUUAAUUUGGCAUGUGCAUUGGUCCUGGAAUUUUUAUGGUGGUGAUCUGAUGUUAUACUUGUGCCUCUGUAAUUUUUGUAGAUUUUUCUGAGCACUUUAACUAAUAUCUUGUAAAUAUGCCUUAUCUAAAGUUAAUUAAUAAAUGCCUUGUUAAGUAAUUGUUUUGGGGUUUUCAACUGAUGAUCUGGUGACCUUGUAAUAUGUUUGUGCUCACGAGUCAUAUGGUUGGCAUGGUUUGUGUUUUGAUCAUGUCAUUAAAUAAUUAACUAUAGGGUUAAAUGCUGUUCUGGACAGCAAGUGAGCAAUUUAACUUUGCUUAAUGAUAACUUGACUUUCUGUGAAACUUGUCUAAAUCAAAGUUGUUCUAAAUUUAUAGAGCCAGCUGUGGUUUAAAUUUGAAGUCAUUUGGCCAAGUAGUUUAAAAGUUAUAGAUGUUCCAAGUUGGGUUCCAGAAAUAGGUGUUCUCUGUUUUUCUGGGACAGAACCUGGAACUUUGUUUAAAUGACCAGUUUCAUGUAUGAAUCUUGCUGUCAUGUUUAAAGAUUAAUUGUAGACAAUUUCAUAAGCUUUCCAGAAUGUCCUUACUCAUGUUUGUUGGACCUGUCUAUCUAUAAUUAUGAUUUAUUUACUGAGCAUACUUGUUUUGUGUCGUUUGCUGCUUUAGUGUCAUGAUAGGUUUUGGGUUAUGUUAACUUGUUUAUUCAUGUGAGUUAGUAUAACUCUUGCUCCGUAAAUGAGUGUCCAGUGAGUUGCUUGUGUUAUUAAGCAUUCAUCUGUAGCAUGUGCACCUUCUCAUUCAUCGAGCAUGCAAUAGGUGCACCGGACGUGGCAGUUUUCUUCGAGCUCCAAGCGAAUCCCGAAGGUCAGGAGGGCAGCCAGGAGGUGGAGGUCCAGCAAGCCGGCCUCGAGGAGACCGAAGAAGAAGUUGAGUGCCCGAAUCACGAGCCGGCAUCGUUCAUGAAAGGCAAGCCCCGGAGCAUUCUAAGUCUCCCCUUAUUUUCGAAAAGUUUACUUAAUACGUUAUAUCUAUUGAUGCAUUACGUAUAGGAGUUGUGAUGAAACUGUUGCUGCAUUCUACUCUAUCCUUGUCCAGAAACUCACCCUCCCUGGUUGUAGAGUUAGGUUCGAGUAGCAGCUUAGCUAUGCUUUAAUCGGUAGAAGUCGGGUGAUAUUCUGUCAUCCGCGCGAUAUAGGGUUGUGUCGGGUCACGAUGGUCUAUAUGUGCUAUCGUGGAUGGAACCUGGUUAAAUUGACUUAAGCCGGGCGGAGUUUUGCAAGUGUGUAGUAACUCCGUCUGUGGCAGCUAAGGACCGAUCGUUGUACGUCCUCUUGUCAUGUUGAACGCAUGCCUGACACUUAGUUGGCCGGAUAACUCGUUCCGACCGUGAAGCCGAGUAGUAUGACUCCGGCCGGAAGACCGGCAAGUAUAAAGUGCGCACUACCGGAGGAAGUGCGGUGUGCGGGGGACCAUUGGCGUAAGUCCAAAGGCAGGUGAGUUAAAAUUCCUGACCUCCCUGGCAGAGUGGUAGCCCUGGGAGUGCGGCGCUGAUCGGAGCCGCGAUUCCUGAGUCGUACCAAAGGUGACCCUUUGGCUCUCCGGCAGGGGAUGCCUGGGUGAGUGCUAGGAAUAACCCUCCAGCUGGAUAGGAAUUCGAUUCGAAUCGCCGUCUCUCCCGGUUAGUGAGAACUUGACAGAGCAGCGGCAAACGUAGCAUUCACUAAUGAACUUGGUUCGUGAUAAUGAUGAUAGCAAGAAGAACAUAUGAUGAAUUUGAUAUGGUUAAUAUUGUUUGUAAUAAUCAAGUGAUGUGUUGUAGUACAGGUGCUAAUCUAGUGCUAGGCUGAUGAUAAAUAAAUAUGAUGCCCUUAAAAUAACUUAGUUGUAAGUUAAGCUUUUGGCAAAAGGUGAGUCAACCAGCUCCACUUAAGAUUUAGCCUUGCAUGAUCCUUGGUGUCUUUUGUGUUUUACUAGACGGGUAAGUCUAGCUGAGUACAUCCUCGUACUCAGGGUUUAUUCCCACCUGUUGCAGAUGAUAUCUUCUAUGACGGUUUCUGCAAGACCUGUCUCCAUCCCGCUGGGGAUGAGGACUAACCGUUGGGCAUGGUUCUCUACUCUUCUCGUCUAUGAUGCUUUUGGAAGGAUGACCUAGACUCUAGCAGUAACAAACUUGUGAACUGAACUUUGAACAGAUGUGUGUAACUAUUUUGCUUCCGCUACUUCAAACUUGGGUUGUAAUAACUUAAUGACUCCGAUGUGGUGCCGCUUCGUCGGCAAUGAAUGACUAUGUAACAAUCGUUGUGUUUAUGCUGAACUAUUACGAUCUUGGUUUGUUGCGAGUUGGUUUGAAGUCCUUCGUGAUUUCGAUUGACUACCGGGAUUAUAUGGGCUCAAGUUUAGAAACUUGAUUGUUUGACGAUCGUUUCUGCACUUGAACUCUUAUAAUUUGGUCGGUUCUGUGACAGCUGGUAUCGGAGCAAGUUCAGCAUUAUAAAUGCAGCGUUUGUGUAUUUAAAACAAAAGAGUUUUUAAAUAAAAUGGUGCUUAAUAAGUAAUCAAGUUAUGCCAGUGGUCGAAUCCUCCUUGCCCACAUAAGGACUCUAGGUGGCUAUUUAAGUACUGACUUGGGGGGGGUUUUUAUUUAUGCAUCUCCGGCAGUACUCAGGUAUGGAUGUGUGAUGACCGCACUAUGCUACCCUGUGGUCUAAUGGUGGAGGUAGCCUUCAUAUGUGAAUUAGCCACAUAUGUCGCUAGAUUUAAAUUAUGCAACGUUGCACCUACGCUCAGGUAAGUGGGAGCUGUGAGAGCAUGAUCGUCCAAACGGCGGUCUAGGGGAGUGUUCGCGGUGGUUUUCUGGAGCGGUUACAUGUCGAAACCAUGGAACCACGAAAGAAACUUAAUUGGGGAGUAUUUAAUUUCUCGGGUAGUUGUGGUGUCAUUGUUUGAGCAUGUUGGGCAUGCCCAAGCAAUGUGCACUUAGUUUACUGCUUUCUUGAGUGAUAUAUUGGGAACUGUUGGGCUGAAAUGAAGUUUUCUACAGGUACUCUAACAACGUACGUGUAAACCGAUAGUUACCGUAUCGAGAGACGAAUGUAUGCCACCGUAUAUCCGUUAGAAUAUUAAUUUUCUAAGUUUGUGAGGACGUACGGUUCGUGCAUGCAUCAUGUCGCAUUCAUACAUACAUUCUGUCUGCUCCUUCCCUUACAAUUUCGUCCCUUUUUAAAUAAAUAAAUGUUGCUUCAACUAAUCCUCUUUUACCAUGGUAUUCCCAUUCCUUUCCACAGAUGGACGCACCCGCCUCACCUCGUCCCAGUGACACUUUCCUGCACGAGUUUGGCACUCCUACCCUGCUCUGGAGAGUGUUACGGACUGUUGGGUAUACUGAGCCACCUCAGUACUCUUGGUGGGAGAUGGAGAGCACAGGAGGGAUCCAGUGGUUUGCUGUGGAGGGAGUUGUUCCUCCACAUGGGGACAAGCUUGCAUGGACAGGCUGGACUUGCAGCUCAGAUGGGCAGACUCCUUGGGAGGCAGCUCAGGUUGCAGCCCAGACUAUCCUGCUCGACAUCUGUCAGAGGUGUGGUGACGAGCUGACAGGAGGACCAGCGGCCUCCAUUCCUAGUGCUGACCCAGCAGCCGCGGAGUGGAAACAGGCUGAUGGUUGUGCUUUGGUUCGAGGCAGAGGAGAGAGAGCUGAGAGCUCUAGUCCUGCUAUGAGUGCUAUGAUGGCUGUACUCAAGCUGAUCAGUCAGCGAGAGGGCACCUAUGCACAGGUGAUGGUGGCUGUUCGCAGGGCCCAGGAGAUGCAGCGGAAGGCUGAAAAGCGUGCUCGCAAGUUUCGCAAGCAAGCUAGGCUCCUGGAGCAAGCUCAGAAGGACCACAAUGACUGGGAAGACAUUGCGGAGUAUCGGAGGCAGCAGUGGGUGAAAGCCAUCAGAGAGAGAGAUCAUAAGCAAGAUCAGAUGAGCCAGUUAGCUAGAGAGAAGGAGACCUUGCAGGAGCGCUUGGUGCAGCUCACCCGUGAGAGAGAUACUGCACUCCGCGUGUCGGAGAAUAGGCGCCAAGCAUGGGAGAUGCACCGAGUUCAGUCGCUUGAGCGGGAGAACUAUCUACAGGAUCAGAUUGAGGCUGGUCUUGUGGAGAUUCACCGUCUCAACAACUUGCUACACCCUAUUCCUCGCCCUAUCCCAGUGUAUCCAGAGGUGGGACCUCAGGUGAUUGUGGCCGAGGAUGAUGGUAUGGAGGUCGAUGGGCCAGCAGCGGCUGCACCACCUUUACACGAGGACGUGGAGGAUGAGGAGCUUGAGCCGGUUAGCGACGAGGAUGGAGAGGCGAACUUCGACGCUGACUCGGACGACGAGCCUGGAGUGUAGGGAGUAGUGAGUAGUUGCUGCAGGAUCUUUUGUUGUGUGCCAGUCGGUUGUGGUGCUUUUGUAACCAUGUUGUAAUCCGAAACUUUGACCUUGACUCAUGGCAUGUACUGUGAUGGCGUAAUAACUUCAUGGACCCUAUGUGCAGUCUUUAUGAUCGUUAUGUUAUGCCGAUGUUUUCCGUUGUGGUGCGUAUUGCGGAUAUCUAUGUCGUGUGUUGGAUUGGUGAUGUUGUUUUGUGGAGUUGAAUUAUUGUGCCUUUCUGUGAAGUUAUUCUCUCGAAUACUUUCAGGCAUGAGUAUAAGUUCUUCUACGGCAAAUCUUGUCAUCAUCAAUGCUCACUGACUGUGUCUUUACAGAUGUCUCGUGGCACCCGGGGUGCGGAACAGCGUGCAAACAUGAAUCCACCACCUCCUCCUCCACCACCAAAUCCAGCUGAGCUGAUGCAAAUGAUGGUGGAAAAUCAGAGGAUGCUCACUGAAACCAUCAAUCGUAUGGUAAAUCAGGGUGGCCGUAAUGCACAGGAAGGGCCAGCUCCUAACCAGUACAGUAGCUUCAAGGACUUCAUGGAUACGAAGCCCCCACCUUUCAGAGAAGCUGAAGAACCCCUUCAAGCUGAAGAGUGGCUGAAUACGGUGGAACAAAAGUUUCGCCUACUUCGUUUGACUGAAGGUUUGAAGGCGGAGUAUGCAGCUCACCAACUGCAAGGACCGGCAGGCAUCUGGUGGAAUCAGUACCGGGAAGCUCUACCGGCUGCCACGGUGAUUGAUUGGAAUCUUUUCCGUGAGGCUUUCAAAGGGCAUUUCAUUCCUCCGGGUGUUAUGGAGAUGAAGCACACCGAGUUCAUGCAGCUGACUCAGGGCAACAAGACUCUGAAGGAGUAUUUGCAUGCUUUCAAUCACUUGUCUAGGUAUGCUCCUGAGUUUGUGAACACGGAGAUGAAAAAGAUCGCUAGUUUCAAGCGGGGUUUGGGUCCCAAAUUGCUGAAGACUAUGGGCCGCACUAAGUGUGCAACUUUCAAUGAGUUUGUCAGUGAUGCUCUCACCCAAGAGAACUAUAACACUGUGUACACUGCGACCAAGACUCGCAAGAGGGCUUUUGAGGCCAGUGCUGGGUCAUCUCAGUCCAAGGCUCCCGUGGCAACUAAGCCACCAUUCCGUGCUCCAACCCCCAACCAGCGAUACCGCCCUCCGGUGAAGAAGAAUCAGGCAAAGACGGGUUUUCGCAAGGGGUACUCUAUUGCUCUUCCUAGGGGCAACACGGGUCCCAACUAUGCCAAGACUCCACCUGCCAACCGUCCGUGCUGGAACUGCAAUCAGACCGGGCAUUGGCAGAGCAACUGUCCUUACCCGCCAAAGAAGGGCAACCAGGGGAACGUCCGUCAGGGGCGUGUUCAUUACACAACUGUGGAGGCAAUCCCUGCUGGUGAGGUAGUCACGGUUGGUAAGUUUCUGGUCAAUCAACUUGAUGCACUCGUGCUUUUUGAUUCUGGAGCAUCGCAUUCUUUUGUGAGUUCUGAAUUUGUAUCUAAGCAUAUCAUCAAGACCAUCACACUUGAUAAGGGCAGUUAUUGUAUUAGUGCUGCGGGAAAUGAUAUUUCCACCAAUCAAGUGGUUUUGGGGGCAACUCUGGAGAUAGGAGGCCGUCAGUUUCUUGCUGAUCUGGUUGUUCUACCCGGUGUGGGCAUAGAUGUAAUUCUGGGGAUGAAGUGGAUGAGUGGUAAUGGAGUUCUUAUAGACACCACCACUCGUGUAGUGAUGUUGAAAGACCCAAAUACCAAGGAGGCAUUUCUAGUGCAACUCCCUCGUGAUAUUCAAAUCCGUAGCACUGUGAAUGCAGUUACAUCUAAGGCUAUUCAGGAUAUUCCGGUGGUGUGUGAGUUUCCGGACGUAUUUCCUGAUGAUUUGCCCGGGCUUCCUCCGGAUCGGGAUGUGGAGUUCAAAAUUGAAUUGAUUCCAGGCACCGCUCCUAUCUCUAGAAGACCUUAUAGGAUGCCGCCCAAUGAAUUAGCUGAGCUUAAGACCCAACUAAAUGAGUUGUUGCAGAAGGGUCUUAUUCGUCCUAGUUCAUCUCCUUGGGGUUGUCCGGCUAUCUUUGUGAAGAAGAAGGAUCAAUCUUUGCGCAUGUGUGUGGACUAUCGUCCCCUAAAUGCGGUGACUAUCAAGAACAAAUACCCUCUUCCUCGCAUUGAUAUCUUGUUUGAUCAGUUGUCUAAAGCUAAGGUAUUCUCCAAGAUUGAUUUGCGAUCUGGGUACCAUCAGAUCAAGAUCCGUCCCGAAGAUAUACCUAAGACGGCUUUCUCGACGAGGUAUGGGUUGUAUGAGUACCUUGUCAUGUCCUUCGGGCUUACGAAUGCACCUGCUCAUUUCAUGUAUCUUAUGAAUUCAGUGUUCAUGCCCGAAUUGGACAAGUUUGUAGUGGUCUUCAUUGAUGAUAUCUUGGUAUAUUCUUGCAAUGAAGAGGAGCAUGCAGAGCAUCUGCGUGUAGUGUUGUCGCGUUUGCGUGAACAUCAGCUUUAUGCUAAGUUUAGCAAAUGCGAGUUUUGGCUAAAGAAAAGUACCUUUCUUGGGCCAUGUCUUAUCUGAAGAAGGCAUAUCGGUGGAUCCGGCUAAGGUGCAAGAGGUGCUGGAUUGGAAAGUUCCAACUUCGGUACACGAGGUUCGGAGUUUUCUCGGUCUGGCUGGGUAUUACCGUCGAUUUAUUCCGGAGUUCUCCAAAAUAUCCAAGCCUAUGACUCGUCUACUUCAGAAAGAUGAAAAGUUUGUGUGGACACCUGAGUGUGAGGAGGCAUUCCACAAGUUGAGGACACUGUUGACAUCAGCUCCUGUCCUAGCUCAACCUGAUAUCGAGAAGCCUUUCGAUGUCUUUUGUGACGCAUCAGGCAUUGGUUUAGGCUGUGUGUUGAUGCAGGAAGGUCGCGUUAUCGCGUAUGCCUCGCGCCAACUUCGAAAGCAUGAGGUCAAUUACCCCACUCAUGACUUAGAAUUGGCAGCAGUUGUUCAUGCUUUGAAAAUCUGGAGGCAUUAUCUGCUGGGUAAUCUGUGUAAUAUCUACACCGAUCAUAAGAGCCUCAAGUAUAUCUUCACUCAACCUGAACUGAACAUGCGGCAGCGAAGGUGACUUGAGUUGAUUAAAGACUAUAAUCUCCAAGUGCACUAUCAUUCGGGCAAGGCAAACGUGGUGGCGGAUGCCUUGAGUCGGAAAGCGCACUGUCACUCAAUCCAAGUGGAAGAUCCGUUGUUGUCACAUCUUAUGCAUCCGCUUGUGCUCAACCAGAUUUCUCUGGAAAGUACCAUUCGCAAUCGAGUCAUCGAACUGCAGCGGACAGAUGUAGGCAUCCACCAUAUCAAGAGGAAGAUGAAGGAAGAAGAAACCAAGCAUUUCCGGGUUGAUGAAAACGGAAUCCUUUGGUUCAAGGAUCGACUUGUGGUCCCAAAAGACCGCGAGCUGCGAAAUCAGAUCCUAUCUGAAGCUCAUUCAUCCAAAAUGUCUAUCCAUCCUGGUAGUAGCAAGAUGUAUCAGGAUCUGAAACCUUUGUUUUGGUGGACAAAGAUGAAAAAGGAGAUAGCUGCUUUUGUCGCUCGUUGUGACAAUUGUUGUCGCGUGAAGGCUGUUCACAUGAAAGCUGGUUUGCUUCAACCCUUGCCAAUUCCUGGUUGGAAAUGGGAAGAAGUCAGCAUGGAUUUCAUCAGUGGACUCCCAACUUCUGUUAAGGGUUAUGACUCUAUCUGGGUGGUUGUAGAUCGUUUGACCAAGGUUGCUCGAUUUAUUCCAGUCCGAACUGAUUAUCGUCCCCAUCAGUAUGCGGAGUUGUAUUUCGAGCACAUUGUUCGUCAGUAUGGUGUGCCUCGAACAAUCAUAUCUGAUCGUGGACCGCAGUUCACUGCUCGUUUUUGGGAAUGUCUGCAUGAGCAAAUGGGUACUCAUUUGGUCCGCAGCUCUGCUUAUCAUCCCCAAACAGCAGGUCAAACUGAACGAGUUAACCAGAUCCUUGAAGAUAUGUUGAGGGCAUGUGCUCUCUCAUCAAAAGGUUCUUGGGUUAAGUGGUUGCCAUUAGCUGAGUUCUCCUACAACAAUAGUUAUCAGGAGAGUAUCAAGAUGGCUCCAUUUGAAGCCUUGUACGGUCGAAAGUGUCGAACCCCGUUGAAUUGGGUAGAAGCUGGAGAGCGAAGAUACUACGGCAUCGAUUUCGUGAACGAAGCAAAGCAGAAAGUCCGUGUUAUCCAGCAACACCUGGAAGCUGCUCAAGCUCAUCAGAAAAGUUAUGCCGACAAGAGAAGGAAGCCGAUUGAGUAUUCAGUUGGUGACCAUGUGUACAUCAAGGUGUCUCCGAUGAAGGGUGUACAAAGGUUCGGAGUCAAGCGAAAGCUUGCACCUCGCUAUGUGGGACCUUAUCGGAUUCUCGAAAAGAAAGGGAAUGUGGCAUACAAAGUUCAACUCCCAGUUGCGCUUCGGGCCAUUUUUCCUGUCUUCCACGUAUCGCAAUUGAAGAAGUGCCUUCGUGUACCGGAGGAACGAGUGGAAAUUCGAGAUAUCAAGUUGAAGUCAGACUUGGUGUAUGAGGAGAAACCCAUAGCGAUUCUUGAUCGCAAGGAACGGGAAACGCAUAAUCGUGUGGUUAAGCUCUACAAAGUGUUGUGGAGUAACCACGGGGAAGAAGAUGCCACUUGGGAGACGGAGGAUUAUUUGAAAGAAGUUUACAAAACCUUCUUCGAAAAUCAGUAAGCUUUCAAAUCUCGGGACGAGAUUUUUGUAAGGGGGGAGGGCUGUAACACCCCAGUGUUAUGGUUGCAUCAAGCAUGUGCAUAGCAUGAGCAUCAUCAUUUACUCAAAGCAUAUCAUGAUCAUCAUCUAUCUUGAGCCAUGUCAUUCUAUGCAAAAAUGUGUUUUAAAUUGAUUAAAUAGGCUUCCUAUGCUUAUGUUUGAGUGAACAAUGCUUGUGUUUGUGCUUAAUGCCUUGGUAAUUAGUUUAUCUAUGCUUAACUUGAUCUUGGGAACAAUGUUCAUGUUGGUCACUUUUCCAAAAUAUGCUUCUAAGUCAUACUUAUGAAAAUAGGCCCUAGAAACCUGUUUUGCUUAGGCUUUUAAAAAGUGUUUCAUAAAAUGUUUGCAUGUCACAACUUUCUACAGCAAAGUUGUAGCAAAUUUUAUAAGGAACAAAAGUUGUUUUAUGGCCAUCUCAUGAAAAUGAUCACAAAUAGCUCAAAAGUGGUCCACAAGGCAGAUUUGGGGCUGUUUUCAACACUUAGAAAAUUUUCUAAGUCCUGGGUGCUUUGCAGUUUGCUCGAUCGGUUUUGGAAACUCUAUAUCUUUCAAUCCAGGCCGAUCUGGCCUUUGCUCUAGUUGAAAAAGUUGUAGAUCUCGCCUAGUACUCCAAGUUUGUCAACUACGCCAUCGCCUAAUUCGCUCUGGUUUGGGAGAUAAUCGCCGGUGAAGUGGCUCUGUCAAACGAGCACCCUUUCUUCUGAAUCGGGCCUGACCUCGUCGACGUGGCCGACCGCCGGCAGAGCUCCGUCGCCAUUUGUCGCCCGUACGCCGCGUUUGGCCCCGCUUGUCAGCUUCCGUCGCGUGCAUGACCUCCACGGCGACGCCCCGAGCGAGUGGACGCGUCCACUUCGCUCUGCUUCGCCCUCUCUCGCCUGAACCUCGUCCGCAGCGAGCUCUCCGCCGCGAGCUCACUCCGGCGACCUCGUGUGCGCUCCUCUCUGCGUCUCCGUCCACCAAACUCCACCCAAAGCUCCGCCGUGAGCCGCUCUCCAAGCUCCACCCUCUAACUCGCCGAGAAACCCACCGGUGAGCCGACAUUCCCUUCUUCCCCCAAAUCGGUCCGCCGUGACCUUCUUCUCCGGCGAACUCAAUGCCGAGCGCUGUGAGGCUUCUCAUCAUCUUUGGUUAGGUCCUAGAGGUAGCUUAGGUCCUUAGCGAGCUUUUGCGCCACCUGGUGGACGCUCUACCGGGUUCUCCGUCGCCGGACACGGUGCGCAGCGCCGCCGUGUUUCCGCCGGAGUUGGGUGCUCUCGUGGCCAGCGCGUUCCACGGGGAUCCAGGCCAAGCCGCGUCCCUAGGAAGCUUCGCCGUAGUCCGUUGGUGCUGUAGAAGGCCUUAGGUCGCGCUCUACCGGCUUGAGGGCUCCGGCGUAACGCCGGGCACCUCCGCCGAGCCGCCAUUGCCGACGGUGAGCCCCUUCCGGUGGCUCCGCCGUGGCAAAAGUGGGGUCAAUCGAGUCGUUAGGGUUCGGGGAUCACGUUGAUGCCCUGGGUUUGGCCGGAGACCUCGCCGUCGCGGAGAAAUCGCCGGCGAAGAUCGCCUCGGCUGUGAGGAAGAAGAGCCUGACAGAUGGGACCCACUGUCAGCGACUCUCUCUUUCCCUCCUUUUCUUUUAUUCAAAAUCCUGAUUUUUGGCUUUCUUGCAAAAAUCAUAUCUCCUGUUUCUGAGAUCCAAAAAUUGUGAAACAAAUUUUGUGUUGUUUCUUGAGAUGGCUACUAUUUAAUAAAAAUAUAAAAUGAAUCAUGUUUUCUGAGAAAUUAUUUAUUAAGGAUUUAAUCUUAUUAUUCUUGGAUAAAUGCAUAUCUCUGGUUAUACUGCUUAGUUUGCUUUGAAAAUUUUAUGGUGGUCUCUGCAUGGCAUUGGAGUGCUCUGAUAAUUAUUUCAUGAUUUUUGGAGCACUGUUGUUGUGAUAUGUAAUUUGUGUUUGAAAUAUGGCUUGUUUCUUUAAUUAAAUCACAUAAAAUAAUUGGUGUUUAUGCUGGUGCUCUAUUUUGGUGGUAAACUUGUUUAUGGUAUUCCUAAGAUGUAAAUAAUCUGAAAUCUGUUGUUUGACACUAUAUAAGCCAUGUUUAUGAAUUUAUGAAAUAAAUGCCUUGAUACUUGUUAAAUGCAUAUCUUUAAUUUGGCAUGUGCAUUGGUCCUGGAAUUUUUAUGGUGGUGAUCUGAUGUUAUACUUGUGCCUCUGUAAUUUUUGUAGAUUUUUCUGAGCACUUUAACUAAUAUCUUGUAAAUAUGCCUUAUCUAAAGUUAAUUAAUAAAUGCCUUGUUAAGUAAUUGUUUUGGGGUUUUCAACUGAUGAUCUGGUGACCUUGUAAUAUGUUUGUGCUCACGAGUCUUAUGGUUGGCAUGGUUUGUGUUUUGAUCAUGUCAUUAAAUAAUUAACUAUAGGGUUAAAUGCUGUUCUGGACAGCAAGUGAGCAAUUUAACUUUGCUUAAUGAUAACUUGACUUUCUGUGAAACUUGUCUAAAUCAAAGUUGUUCUAAACUUAUAGAGCCAGCUGUGGUUUAAAUUUGAAGUCAUUUGGCCAAGUAGUUUAAAAGUUAUAGAUGUUCCAAGUUGGGUUCCAGAAAUAGGUGUUCUCUGUUUUUCUGGGACAGAACCUGGAACUUUGUUUAAAUGACCAGUUUCAUGUAUGAAUCUUGCUGUCAUGUUUAAAGAUUAAUUGUAGACAAUUUCAUAAGCUUUCCAGAAUGUCCUUACUCAUGUUUGUUGGACCUGUCUAUCUAUAAUUAUGAUUUAUUUACUGAGCAUACUUGUUUUGUGUCGUUUGCUGCUUUCGUGUCAUGAUAGGUUUUGGGUUAUGUUAACUUGUUUAUUCAUGUGAGUUAGUAUAACUCUUGCUCCGUAAAUGAGUGUCCAGUGAGUUGCUUGUGUUAUUAAGCAUUCAUCUGUAGCAUGUGCACCUUCUCAUUCAUCGAGCAUGCAAUAGGUGCACCGGACGUGGCAGUUUCCUUCGAGCUCCAAGCGAAUCCCGAAGGUCAGGAGGGCAGCCAGGAGGUGGAGGUCCAGCAAGCCGGACUCGAGGAGCCCGAAGAAGAAGUUGAGUGCCCGAAUCACGAGCCGGGAUCGUUCGUGAAAGGCAAGCCCCGGAGCAUUCUAAGUCUCCCCUUAUUUUCGAAAAGUUUACUUAAUACGUUAUAUUUAUUGAUGCAUUACGUAUAGGAGUUGUGAUGAAACUGUUGCUGCAUUCUACUCUAUCCUUGUCCAGAAACUCACCCUCCCUGGUUGUAGAGUUAGGUUCGAGUAGCAGCUUAGCUAUGCUUUAAUCGGUAGAAGUCGGGUGAUAUUCUGUCAUCCGCGCGAUAUAGGGUUGUGUCGGGUCACGAUGGUCUAUAUGUGCUAUCGUGGAUGGAACCUGGUUAAAUUGACUUAAGCCGGGCGGAGUUUUGCAAGUGUGUAGUAACUUCGUCGGUGGCAGCUAAGGACCGAUCGUUGUACGUCCUCUUGUCAUGUUGAACGCAUGCCUGACACUUAGUUGGCCGGAUAACUCGUUCCGACCGCGAAGCCGAGUAGUAUGACUCCGGCCGGAAGACCGGCAAGUAUAAAGUGCGCACUACCGGAGGAAGUGCGGUGUGCGGGGGACCAUUGGCGUAAGUCCAAAGGCAGGUGAGUUAAAAUUCCUGACCUCCCUGGCAGAGUGGUAGCCCUGGGAGUGCGGCGCUUAUCGGAGCCGCGAUUCCUGAGUCGUACCAAAGGUGACCCUUUGGCUCUCCGGCAGGGGAUGCCUGGGUGAGUGCUAGGAAUAACCCUCCAGCUGGAUAGGAAUUCGAUUCGAAUCGCCGUCUCUCCCGGUUAGUGAGAACUUGACAGAGCAGCGGCAAACGUAGCAUUCACUAAUGAACUUGGUUCGUGAUAAUGAUGAUAGCAAGAAGAACAUAUGAUGAAUUUGAUAUGGUUAAUAUUGUUUGUAAUAAUCAAGUGAUGUGUUGUAGUACAGGUGCUAAUCUAGUGGUAGGCUGAUGAUAAAUAAAUAUGAUGCCCUUAAAAUAACUUAGUUGUAAGUUAAGCUUUUGGCAAAAGGUGAGUCAACCAGCUCCACUUAAGAUUUAGCCUUGCAUGAUCCUUGGUGUCUUUUGUGUUUUACUAGACAGGUAAGUCUAGCUGAGUACAUCCUCGUACUCAGGGUUUAUUCCCACCUGUUGCAGAUGAUAUCUUCUAUGACGGUUUCUGCAAGACCUGUCUCCAUCCCGCUGGGGAUGAGGACUAACCGUUGGGCAUGGUUCUCUACUCUUCUCGUCUAUGAUGCUUUUGGAAGGAUGACCUAGACUCUGGCAGUAACAAACUUGUGAACUGAACUUUGAACAGAUGUGUGUAACUAUUUUGCUUCCGCUACUUCAAACUUGGGUUGUAAUAACUUAAUGACUCCGAUGUGGUGCCGCUUCGUCGGCAAUGAAUGACUAUGUAACAAUCGUUGUGUUUGUGCUGAACUAUUACGAUCUUGGUUUGUUGCGAGUUGGUUUGAAGUCCUUCGUGAUUUCGAUUGACUACCGGGAUUAUAUGGGCUCAAGUUUAGAAACUUGAUUGUUUGACGAUCGUUUCUGCACAUGAACUCUUAUAAUUUGGUCGGUUCUGUGACACCUAUAAACCCUAUCCUUCCUACUAACGAGAUAUGGUCUGCAAAGGUAACUCGGAAUUGUCACGUUCCUCACUACUACCACGGUCUAGCUAGUCAGGGAAUAUCUAUGAGUACCCCAGCCUAAACACCACGUUUACGCCAGCAAUGAUUACUCUAAACUCUACGCGAAGAGAUUAAAGUAAACUCAUAAACCAGAAGAACAAUAAAACAAGAACUUACUAGAAUUUAGAAGUCGAAAUACUGAAGAAUCCUAGGAGCAAGCUUCGGGUUAGGAGAACUUGAUCCCGUAGGUACAAGCUUGGAGUAGACACCGACAGGCCGGGCUUCCUCCAAUCUACACCUCCACUCUAUCUCUCUCAAUCUAGUAGAAACUAGAAGAUCUAUUUCUACUUUACAUUGGUUGCUAAGCCUAAAAAGAAAUAUUAUUUAGAGAAGAGGUUUUCCUUCGAGGGCACCGCUCAAUCUCUAUGAUAAUUUCUUGUCUUCUCUAGGGGCCAGGGGGGUCUCCUUAUAUAGUCCUCCUCCUCUAUGCGUUUUUGGGUCGGUAGGUGAGGUGGUACUACAUUAUCUUUGAUCCAUUAGGUCGGUGGAACAUCGUGUGCGAAGAGAGUCCCGAACGGGAUCCAGCAAGGGGCGGGCGCCCAGGUCACCUGGGCGGGCGCCCUGGGCCUGGUCCCUUUCGGCCUCUGCUUCGUUCUUGUGGCUUCUGGAGUCUUCUAGAUGAUAGAAAAUCGCGCGGUGCGUUGAUAUCUCUAUGUAAUCCUGACAUGUGGGCCUUUCUUCCUUAUUUCCUGAUAACCCCCUGCAGAAAUAGACAAACACCAAAACUCGUGGAAUUCUGUCAGAUCAAACCCUAAUUCUAGCUGUUGGUUGCAUAUUGGUCCUUUCUCUUGUUUAUCUGAUAAUUAAAAUUAAUACUUAAGAAUCGUCAACAAAUACCCCCAUACUUAGGCUUUUACUUGUCCUCGAGAAAAGGAUGGUUAAGAACAAUACUUGGGGUAAAACAUUCUAAAACAAUCUUUAUAUUUGUGGGGUAUUAGAGUCCACUGUGUACUGUAGUCAGGGAAGUAUAUGAUUAAGAGUAAAGAUCCUUUCUUCUCAAUCCUGUUACUUGGAGUUUUUGUAUAAUUUUGAAAGAAAGCUAGCAUACCUUUUUAUCCUCAUAGGUUCUCUCAGAUCACUCAUUAUCUUUUAUAUAUCUCACUGAGGCUGUUUUAAUUUGCAAAAAUUCUUAAGCAUAUUUACUUUGCAUUUAUUGCCUGAUCAAAACGGGAUCCGAGGACGGGAAUGUCAUACUCUUAGAUCAAAGACUUUGGAAAUUAAAACUUUGUCAACUCUUGCUGGCAUAUUGCUUAUUAGAGAGACCAUGGGCUAUCAUUUUCUCUUUUUCUCUCUCUUUUUUUUAAUGGAUACCGAGGUAUCCCUAAUUCUACUGUCGGACACUUGUCCAUUUUUCUGCGAGGUUGUCGAGCACUUGCUCCUUUUUAUUUCCUCGAAAUAUCUUUUAUUUUUGCAUAGCCCAUGCCUCUAAUGCAAUAAUACUUCGGAAGAGUGAAUCUUUCUGAAUAAAUGUCUUGAUCUUAGGAGUAUGAUAAAUCUCUCAACAAGGGCCUACUCAUUUUGAACAAACUCAAUACAGAGUAGAUAGCUUUUAUAAUCAUAAUUAAUAUUUUCAGUUUUAUCAGGCAUAUAAAACACUGAGGAUGGUAGCUAGAAUUUUGAAGAUUUUGAAAUAAAUUCUCCAAGCAACAAUGAUAUCAAGAAUAAGAAACUCAUACUUUACCAUUACAUAUUCCAUAUUGACUUAAGUAAUACAGUGUUUUAAAAAUGAUUUUCAAUAAUUGCAAGUUUUCAGGAAAUAUCACAGAUUGAGAUUAAUCAUGACUAGAAAUAUUUUAAUCUUUUUAAUGUAUCAUGUCGGAAACAGUAAUCUGCAUAAUCAAGAUAUGUGAAGUGUAAAGUAAAGUGUGCAGAGUGUGUACCUGAAUCGUGGAGUGGUGUAGUCGAAGUGUGUUUGGCGUGUUGAGGGAUCUCCCCCAUACUUGUUUUCUACUUUCUUGCACAAAAAUAAAGUAGAGACACACAAGACAUAAUAAUAGUAGUACUCUUUAUUAAUCUUGAGGCAUUUAUUACAAAAGACUAGUAGCAAACUGAUGAUAAUAGUAAACCUAAACCAAAUUUAAAGAUAAAUAACUAAGAUGCAUUGCCUCAAGGUCUAAUCUAGAUAACUUAGCGGCGCUCUAAUUCCUUAAUCUUCUUGUUGGCACUGGCAAGAUCAUGCCUAAGGCCUAGUAUAAUAGUGUUGUGGUUAGAGAGCUGCCUAGUGAGGGAAUUAAUCGAGGACUGGAGGUCUAUGAUAACUCUGUCUAGCCUGCGAACGUCCUCAUCAAUAUCGACUAUAGUCUUGCGACGCUUGGGAGGUGUCUCAAAAGCAUUGAGAGCGUGUUUCGGGGCUGCCUUUGGAGGGAUGAAACGGACUUUGGCUGCUCUAAUCCCUUCGAAGUAAGGCCUCUCCUCCUCCGUAGUGUAGCGAAUACUGCUGAUCUCGCCGCUCCGGUUGGUCUUGACUCCAACGACCCUCUCAUUGGGUCUAGGUGGAAGGAUCCUUGUGCCGGUUAGCACCUUGAUGGUGGUCUUCGUCUUGGAUGAUGAUCCCUUGAGGAGUAGGGGUUGUGGCGGUGCGGUGAGAACUGGUUGAGCAUGAUAGGAUUGGGUGGAGCUGCGUUGGCGUAAUGGCAUGCUUCUAGCUGUCGCUUUGUGUUGGCCGGGACGAGAGCACGGGCGUCGGGGUCUUCCUCAGGCUCCAUGUUGAGGUUGAAGGGAACGACUUCCCAAUCAUCGUGGAACUUCUCGGCCAUUGGAGCAGCAAGGAACUAAUCAAGAUCUAAUUGAAGAAGAAAAGAAGGCUUGAUGGUUUGGUGUUUGAAAACUGAUGUCAGGGGUCUGUUUAUAUAGGGGUCAAAAAGUGCCUCUAUGGGUUGUUCGGGUUGCUCCCGUCGAUGUGCUUGCGAAGCUUUCCAUCUGAGGGAUUAUUCAGAUUACCAUAAGUGCAUUUUCUAUAACAGAGAAAAUCAGGACCGAGGGGGAACAGGAGCUGGGCGCCCGCCCACCUGAUCUGGGCGCUCGCCCUGUCUCUGCCCCCUCUGUGGGUUCACUUCCUCGAGCGCGUUAUUAGAUGCAAAACUAUUUAGAAAAAUAUAUAUAUGACCCGAAAAUGUUAGAAUAAAAAGGUCGGGCUUCUAAUUCUCCAUGAGAAGGUGAAAAUGGACUACGUCUAUUUCUUCUAAUUCUUUAUUGGGCUCUAAAAAUAAUUUAAGACGUUGACCAUUUACCUUGAAUAACGUACCUUCGUCAUUUUGAAGUGUGAUAGCUCCGUGGGAUGAUGAAUUAAUUACCUUGAAUGGUCCUUCCCAUUUGCUCUGGAGUUUUCCAUGCUCGAAAAGCUUCACCCUGGAAUUAAAAAGCAAUACCUUAUCUCCGGGUGUGAACUCCUUCUUCUUGAUUCUCUUGUCAUGCCACCUUUUGACUCUUUCUUUGUAGAUCUUUGAAUUGUGAUAUGCCUUCUCUCGCCAUUCUUCCAAUUCUGAUAGUUGCAUUCUUCUAUAAUCUCCAGCAACAUCUAGGUCCAUAUUCCAUCUCUUUAUGGCCUAGUGUGCUUUGAACUCUAGUUCAACGGGUAGAUGGCAAGUCUUCCCCGUACACCAAUUGGUAUGGAGACAUUCCAAUUGGGGUCUUGUAUGCUGUCAGGUAUGCCCAGAGUUCAUCGGGUAACUUGUCUUUCCACGCCGUUCCCAUUUCAUUUACUGUCUUCUGAAGAAUAUUCUUGAUUUGUUUGUUCGAAGUCUCUGCUUGGCCACUUGUCUGCGGAUGAUAGAGGGUAGCGACGUUGUGACGGAUUCCAUGUUUUGAUAGAUAUUGCUUGAAGCGUUUGUCAAUGAAGUGUGCUCCUCCAUCACUUAUCACUACUCUGGGGACUCCAAAUCUUGGAAAUAUAAUUUCUUCAAACAUCCUCUUUGAACUGACGUUGUCGGCAUGCUUGCAAGGUAAUGCCUCUACCCACUUGGAGACACAGUCAACUGCCACCAAGAUGUACUCACACUUCUUUGAUGGAGGAAAUGGACCCAUGUAGUCUAUUCCCCAGACAUCAAAGAGCUCAAUCUGAAGGUUGUUGGUGAGUGGCAUUGCAUCCCUUGUAUUUAUGUUUCCGUGUCUUUGACAUGGCCCACAUCUUCUGAUAUAAUGCUUCGUAUCUUCAUACAUUGUAGGCCAGUAGAAUCCACACUGCCAGAUCUUUGAAUGUGCAGAAAGCUCCAUAGUGACCUCCAUAUGGUGAUGAAUGACAUGUGUCGAUGAUCUUCCAUCCUUCCUCAGUGGUCACACAUCUCCUAAGUAAGCCAUCAGAGCAUACUCGGAAGAGGUAUGGCUCAUCCCAUAUAUGUGAACAACUUUCUUGAAUAAGCUUCUUCUUGUUUGCUCCUAGUGGUACAUACCCUGAAAACAUAAAAUUAACAAUAUCUGCAUACCAGGGGUCAGACCUGUUAAUCCCGUAGAGCAUGUCGUCCCGGAGUGAAUCAUUGAUGGGGGUUUCCUGUGGACUCUUAAAAUACAUUCUAGACAAGUGAUCAGCAACAGAAUUUUCUACUCCUUUUUUAUCUUUUAUUUCUAAGUCAAAUUCUUGGAGUAAUAAGAUCCAUCUAAUCAGGCGAGGUUUAGCAUCUUUUUUAGUGAGGAAAUAUUUUAGUGCAGCAUGAUCAGUGUAAACAAUUAUUUUAGCUCCAACUAAAUAAGAUCUAAAUUUAUCAAUGGCAAAGACAACAGCUAGAAGCUCUUUUUCAGAUCACACAUAAUUUCAAAAGGCAACGACCAAUCAGGGGGUUGAAUGAUUGGUGCAGAGAUGAGUGCUUUCUUUAAUAAAUUAAAAGAUAUUAGACAUGCAUCAUCAAAUUCGAAAGGAGCAUCCUUGGCUAGCAAAAGUGUAAGUGGUCUAGCAAUGAAUGAGAAAUCUUUUAUAAAUCUACGAUAAAAACCAGCAUGGCCAAGAAAGCUUCGAAUUCCUUUUAUAUUCACAGGUGGAGGUAGUUGUUCAAUUACUUCAAUUUUAGCUUUGUCUACCUCAAUACCUCUUUCAGACACUAAGUGUCCCAGCACUAUUCCUUCUCUAACCAUAAAAUGACAUUUUUCCCAAUUAAGGACUAAGUGCUUUUCUUCACAUCUUUGCAAAACCUUGUCUAAGUUUUCAAGACAUCUAUCAAAAGUUUUUCCAUAAACAGAGAAAUCAUCCAUGAAAACUUCCAUAAUCUCUUCAAUCAUAUCAGAAAAUAUAGACAUCAUGCAUCUUUGAAAAGAAGCUGGUGCAUUACAUAACCCAAAAGACAUUCUACGGUAAGCAUAAGUUCCAUAUGGGCAUGUAAAAGUGGUUUUGCUUUGAUCAUCGGGAUGGAUCGGGAUCUGAUGAUACCCUGAAUAUCCAUCUAAAAAAUAGAAGAACGAAUGGUUCGCUAUCUGCUGUAGCAUCUCAUCUAUGAAAGGUAAAGGAAAGUGAUCCUUUCUCGUGGCUUUGUUUAGUUUUCUAUAGUCUAUGCACAUCCGCCAUCCUGUGACGGUGCGUUGCGGAAUUAGCUCGUUCUUUUCAUAUAAUCCCUGCACGCAGCAACUUUAUAACUUGAACUGGGCUUACCCACUCACUGUGUGGCACAGGAUAUAUAAUCCCUGCACGCAGCAACUUUAUAACUUCCUUUUUAACUACCUCUCUCAUAGUGUUAUUAAGUCUACGUUGGGGUUCACGAGAGGGUGAAACAGAAGGAUCUGUUGGAAUACGAUGGGUACAAAUCAUAGGACUGAUUCCUGUAAGAUCUUGGAGUGAGUAGCUGAAAACUGAGUGAUGUUUCUCAAGAAUGGUCAUUAAUCGCAAAGUUUGCUCCUGAGUGAGUUUAUUGCUAAUGAUCACAGGAAACUCUGGAUUAUUGUUUAGGAAAGCAUAGGUAAGACCAGGUGGUAAAGUUUUAAGCUCUAUGGGGGGUCUAGGUGUUUCUGCAAACUCAUCUAAAGGUUCAGGUUCAGAAGGUUUGGCUUCUUCUUCUAUGAAGAAAGGAGUUUCGUCUUCUAAGUCUGAUUCUUCUAAAACCUCUAGAGAUGCAGCCUUUUCCUCCUCCAUAGGAUCAGGCAAAAGAUAUGAUUCGGCCUUAUUGUUUAAGGAGUGUGAAAUUGUUAUUGGGAAUUUAAAGGCUUUUCCAAAAGAAAUGUGUAGCUUUCCAGUAUGACCUUCAUAAAGGAGUCUUCUGAAAGGUUGUCCUAUCAACAGGUCGAAGUCCCAUGUAUCAAAGAUAUAGAAGUUCAAAUGAACCAUGGAGCCUUCUACCGUAAGAGGUAGGACAUUAAUAAUUCCAAGACUGGGGACUAAUUGUCCCGAAGAUUCCUUUAUGACCUUUGUUGUGGGGGUUAAGACAAGAUUUUUAAAUAGUUUAAGUGCAAAAGAUUUAGACAUGAUGUUGAUCCCCACAACAGGAUUAUAAAGAGCAUUAAAUCGAUCAGAAUUAUAAGCACAGCGUAUAGUUAUAGAGGGUGUGUCCAAACAGAUCACAACAGAGGAAAGCUCUGAUUCCUCCAACCAUUCGCUACUCAUGAAUGAGAUAAGCUCUCUCAAUUGAUAUUCACUUGGCAAAUAAAUGCUAAACUGGCCGUUUUGGGGUUUGUCAAUAGAAUGGUAGUUUGAAAUGUUUCCAAAAUCGGCAAAAAGAUCGGAUUCUAUAUCCAGCAUGAAGUCCGGUGGUGCAAUUUCUUCCUCUUCUGGCUCAGAACUUGGGAUAGCUAAAGUAGAUGAAGAAUUUGGCAGAGUGUCUACUUCGGCUUCGUAGGUUUCAUCAUGAAGGGUAUUAUCCAUCUCAGCUUCUAGGAUUCUAUCUAGGAUCACUCUAGCUUCAUCAGUAGGGAUGCGAAAGAAAGAACCUCUAGACAUUGUGUGUAGCAUUUGUUUGUGAUUUUUCUGAAGACCUCAAAAAAAGUGAAAUAAAAGAAUAGGGUCUUCAAGAUUAAGGUUUGUACCAGAUUCUAAAAGAUCAGAAAAAUGUUUCUAGGAUUUUCCCAAAGUUUCAUUAUCUUUUCGUUUAAAAGAUAGGACUUUGAGUCUAAGGUCGGCUAUACGGUCGAGGGAAUAGAAAUCUAGACAAAAGUUGGCUCGUAAAACUCCCCAUUCACCUCGUUGUUGACUUACCUUCUGACUAUACCAUUGUCUAGCUUCUCCCCUUAGGGAAAAAGGAAAAAGCUUCCAACGUAAAGUUUUAUCAGAAAUGCCUUCAAUGCGAAGACAAACACAUCUUUGCUCAAAAUCUCUAAUAUGAAGGUAUGGGUUUUCGUCUUCCUUUCCCGAAAAAGAUAGGUUUUGAAUCAUGGCAAUCAACCUAGAACUUAACUUAUACUGGGAUGUUUGGAUAGGCUGUGAUGACUCCCAUGGCAAAAGGUCAGUUACUGAAGGGAUUGAAGACUCAUGGAUUGAUUUAGAAUUUUGGUUUUCCAUAAGGUAAGAGUAAAGAAAAUAAAUAAAGAAUAUAAAAGAUAAGAAAAGAUAAAAGUAUAGAUACAAGCUAGUAGUAAGACUCAAGGUUAUCUCAGCAAACCGUCUUUCUCCCCGGCAACGGCGCCAGAAAUGCUUGUUGAUAUUUGGGAACGCAAUAAGGAAUUGAUCCGCAAGCACACGGAUAUCGGUGAGCACUUCACCCGGGAAAUUAUCCAGAGUAUCGUAUUUAUUUUUUACCACUAGGAGAAAGAGUGCAUCUGACUAACCGGUCUAUUACUACUAACCCUUUAGGCAACAAAGAAUGUCUCUCGAUGUGAGUGAUAAAUAGAGAAGACUGCAACCGUAGUCUUCUUCUAACCUUGGUAAGGAUGAUCUACUGUUCUAUUGGGGAGGCUAACGGAAUCUAGACACCCCAAAGGAUGUUCAACCUGCACCUAUAAACCCUAUCCUUCCUGCUAACGAGAUAUGGUCUGCAAAGGUAACUUGGAAUUGUCACGUUCCUCACUACUACCACGAUCUAGCUAGUAAGGGAAUAUCUAUGAGUACCCCAGCCUAAACACCACGUUUACGCCAGCAAUGAUUACUCUAAACUCUACGCGAAGAGAUUAAAGUAAACUCAUAAACCAGAAGAACAAUAAAACAAGAACUUACUAGAAUUUAGAAGUCGAAAUACUGAAGAAUCCUAGGAGCAAGCUUCGGGUUAGGAGAACUUGAUCCCGCAGCUACAAGCUUGGAGUAGACACCGACAGGCCGGGCUUCCUCCAAUCUACACCUCCACUCUAUCUCUCUCAAUCUAGUAGAAACUAGAAGAUCUAUUUCUACUUUACAUUGGUUGCUAAGCCUAAAAAGAAAUAUUAUUUAGAGAAGAGGUUUUCCUUCGAGGGCACUCCUCAAUCUCUAUGAUAAUUUAUUGUCUUCUCUAGUGGCCAGGGGGGUCUCCUUAUAUAGUCCUCCUCCUCUAUGCAUUUUUGGGUCGGUAGGCGAGGUGGUACUACAUUAUCUUUGAUCCAUUAGGUCGGUGGAACAUCGUGUGCGAAGAGAGUCCCGAACGGGAUCCAGCAGGGGGCGGGCGCCCUGGGCCUGGCCCCUUUCGGCCUUUGCUUCGUUCUCGUGGCUUCUGGAGUCUUCUAGAUGGUAGAAAAUCGCGCGGUGCGUUGAUAUCUCUAUGUAAUCCCGACAUGUGGGCCUUUCUUCCUUAUUUUCUGAUAACCCCCUGCAGAAAUAGACAAACACCAAAACUCGUGGAAUUCUAUCAGAUCAAACCCUAAUUCUAGGUGUUGGUUGCAUAUUGGUCCUUUCUCUUGUUUAUCUGAUAAUUAAAAUUGAUACUUAAGAACCGUCGACAGCAAUCAUCAAUAUUGAUUAUAGAAUGGAAUAUGAGACUGAGUAUCUAUCAUUGCAUGUAUAAUUGAGAACAUUUAUCUAACUCUUUCAUACAGGGGUAAGUGUCACAUAAAGGAUAUAAAGUAAUGAAUAGUGACAAAGAUAAUUAAUCUGAUCAGCAUAACUUAGCCACAUAUAAAUAUGAUAAGCACCUCAAUUAGAUAUUCUAGCAAGUCAUUAGCAUGGAAUUAGAAUGAACUACAAUAAUAUUUCCUAAGUUAUUCUCAACUAUACAGUCUAGCAUAUCAUAGUUAGUGCAAGCAUACUUAGCAAUCAUUGUGAGACAAGACUACGCGCAUGCAUAGUGAUAUUAGCAAGGAAUAUGAGAAACAUCGCAAUCACUCCCCUAUAAUAAUGUUGCUCUGCCAGCCCAAUACACGAGAGGGGGACUAUAUAAGAAUCAAUGAAGCUGUCACUAUCACGAACUACCCCGUGAUCUGGCAUAUUGGGUAGAAUCGCAGAUAAAUACGGUAUAAGCACCACGCCUACACAAUAUCUAUCAUUUACCCAUGGAUCCGAUGGAUAAACGGUAUAUGAUCCUAAACAUGUAUAUAGAUCCAAUCUAACUAAGCCAAGUAUAUAACUAUGAUAAACUAAGAACAAUAUAAUCUUGAAUAUAAACAAGUAGAGCUAAGUCAUAAGCAAUAUAUUGAAGUAGAACAAAGUCAUAUUCAUAAUAUUGAAGAACAAAGAUGAACAAUUAGAAGAACAAUUAGAGAAUUACUAAGAAUCCUCUUGACAAAUCCGGAAAACAAUCGAUGAUUGACUCCUUCUAAUUCUAAUCCUAUGUAGCUAUGCAAAUCUAGAUGUCUAAUUGAGGUGGUGGCUCUAGGCUUGAUGAGAGGCUUCUUCUCCCUUGAGGAAUAAUGAAUUAGGGUUGAGAGGCUCUCUCCGCCAGGGGCUAGGGGUUCUGGUUUUAUAGUCCUUCCCAGUGAAUAUGGGUCGUUGGAUCAAACCAACAUUGAUUGAACGGUUAUCCUUGAUCCUUUAGGUCGGUGGAGCGUAAUCCCGAAAGAGAGUUCUGAUUAGACUCUAUAGGGGGGCGGGCGCCCUGGUCUCCUGGGCGCCCGCCUAGGGCCAGGCCCCGUUUCGCCUCCGCUUCGUUCACGUGGCUUCUGGAGUCUUCUAGAUGUAAGAUAAUUGUACGGCACGUUGAUAUCUCUAUGUAAUCCCGACAUGUGGGUCUUUCUUCCGUAUUUCCUGAUAACCCCCUGCAGAAAUAGACAAACACCAAAACUCGUGGAAUUCUGUCAGAUAAAACCCUAAGUCUGGAUGUUGAUUUCAUUUGGAUCCUUUUCUUUGUUUAUUUGAUAAUUAAAUUUGAUACUUAAGGACCGUCAACAAUAAGUACAUCGGCAAGGGUAGGAGAAGCAGGACCAUGGCCAAACAAGAAAGCAUUGAGGGUGUCUGACCAGAAAUACGAGGCUGCUAUCAAUAGUGAUUCAUUUCUUUCCAUAUCGGCAAUGGAUAGCCUGAUGCACUGGUCUAGUUUACGUUCACCCCAUUGGACUUCAUUUGAGUUGCUAACUCUCAGAAACCAAUCCUUCCAUCCCUUAGUAGAACUGGGCUAGGAUCGGAAGGUGUGUUUCCACAGAUUUAAGGAGAAGUUCUCAGCUCUAAUGGGGAUCCUAUUUGUUUCCGCAUUCACGAUUUUCUCAGUAAAUUCCUAUAGGUUUGAAGGAUGAAAGAACAGAAAAGAAAAAAAGAGAGAAAAUGCUAAGUAAAUAGAUUUGCAGAAAAUAAAAGUAUGAAAGGAGAAAGAGAAGAUGAGAUGGAAUUGACCUCAGGAACGGUGAAGUUGACGGCCAUUUCUUCCCGGAGAGGAAGAAGAUCGACGAUUCGAAGAACUGCUGGGGAAGAUUUUCGCUGGAGUUCUUAGGCUUGCCGAACGGUGCCGCCGCUAGGAAGGUAGGUUUGAGGAUGCAAGAUGGCAAGGAGGAGGAAGAGUACCAAAGAAGGAAGUAUUUAUAGGACAAGGUAAGCAGGGGCAUUUCUGACUUAUCUCUUUCCCACAUCCGUGAAAUUCGAGGGUGUGCAGUUGGAUAUGGUAACUCUUCGCACGAUAAUCAAGGGAUUUCGCAAUUGAUUUGACAGCAAGCGGUGAUUUUAGGAGAUAUUUCACUGUGCAAGGUCUACUGGUCGGGUCAUCGGUAGUUCACUCUAACGGAAAAGUUGCCGAUGAGCGGUUGUUUAGGGGUUUUGAUUCAAGAGGUUGAGAGAUUCGAGGAGUAUGCUGGAGAUCUGGGUUAAGGUUGCUUGGAUUUGGUAAUUAAUCACUGCCAGAGGGGAGUAAUUGCGGAAAGGCAUCAUUACUGAAGAGAUUUUACAGCAUUAAAGAUUUUAUACUCCGAAAUUGGGGGCAUGUGUUGAUACCAUUUUUGGACACGUAUCUUUGGACAUGUAUCUGGGAGUUAAUGAAAUAUAGAUUGGCAGGCGAAAGAGUGGUGAUUAAAGUAGUUGCCGAUGGGGAUUGAUGCCGAUGGCGAAACAGUAGGAUGUGGUCAAGUCCAGGGAUGGUGAUUGAUCUAUGCCGAUGACUGAUACUGGUGGUUGCCGAUGCCGAUGGAAGGUGAUGUGCCGAUGAUAACAGAAGGAAGCGCGGGAAUUGCUGAUAGGAUGGUGACGGUGUGCCGAUCGUCUGUGGUAGAUAGAUUAAUGUUUUCCAUAGCUAUUAGAGUUUGUUUUGUAUACGGAUUCCGUUCGAUAUAGAAUUAGAGUCCUAGUCGUGUCUGGUUCUAGCCCUUUUGGACAGGGUAUAAAUGUAGACCCCGUAGCAAUGUAAUGACACAAUCAAUCAAACAUAAGUUUUUACAUCUAUUCCACAGCUACUUUUCGAUGACUUCGUCAACUUGCAUAUUUUCCUUUUACUUACGAGUUCUUAGAAAUUCAUCGAGCUAAACUCGACAAGUUCUUGAGUUCCGUGUGAAUACCUCUUGGCCGUGACAUCCGGGCGUAUCGCUGUUGUCGGGACCAAAGUAUUCGAGUUAUCACCUUUGUCGAUUGUAAGGUCAAAUCGGCUGGCACGCCAUAACAUCAAAUCGGAUAUUAGCCCUUUGUGUUUGUAGAUCUACUUUUGCAUCAACACCGUGGAACCACUGGAAGCGGAUGAAUGAAUUAACACCAUGGACCAGAAGUUCCGUCUCAUUCGGAUGACCGAGGAGCUCAAGGUAGAAUAUGCAGCACAUCAGCUGCAGGGGCCUGCUGGGAUUUGGUGGUCCCAUCAUCGUACCACCUAUCCAGAGGGGACCCCGAUCACCUGGAUCCCGCUUCACCACCGCCUUUUGGGGAAAAAUUAUAUUCCUGCAGGUGUGGUGGAGAUGAAGAUUGGAGAAUUCAUGAAGCUGUCUUAGGGGACCAAGUCUGUGAAAGAGUAUCUGCACGCUUUCAACAAUCUUGCUCGUUAUGCUCCAGAGUUCAUGAACACAGAGGCCAAGAAGAUCGCUAGUUUUUAGAGAGGCUUGAGCCCAAAGAUGUUGAAGACUAUGGGUACAGGGACCCGGGCUACUUUCAAUGCCUAUAUCAGUGACUGUCUGACUCAAGAGAACAAUAACAACAACUAUAGUGCAUCCAAGUCACAUAAGAGGGCAUUUGAAGCCGGAUCGUCUUAGUCCAGGGCACCAGUGGCAGGAUGUCAGCAUUACCGUCCUCCUGCCCAAGGUGCUAGGUUUCGACCUCCUCAGAUAAAAGGAAUAUAGGGCAUCCGACACAGUAGAAGCCGUACAACAUAGCAGUGGCUCUAGCAAGGCCAAGGGCGAAUCAAGCUGCAGCACCUGCUGCCAACACCAUGACCAAGGGACCAUGCUACAACUGCCACAAGAUGGGACACUUUGCUAAAGAAUGUCCCUAUCCCAAGAAACAACAGACGACCUACCCAGCCCGUGUGCACCACACCUCGAUAGAGGAGAUCCCGGAAGGAGAACCGGUAAGAACUGGUAUGUUCCCUGUCAACCAACAUCUUGUAGUUGUUUUGUUUGAUUCUGGAUCAUCGCAUUCACUCAUGAGCCAAGCAUUUGCACAAAAGCAUGAUCAACCAGUUACCGAGUUGGGUUGUGGUUAUCGCAUCAGUUUAGCUGGGGCUGAUGUGUUGACCAACAAAGCAGUAACAGGGGCUACCUUGGAUAUCAGUGGCCGAAGGUUUCGUGUAAACCUUGUAGUCAUGCCGGUGUUAGUUUUGGACGUUGUCAUCGGGAUGAAUAAGAUGACCGACUAGGGUGCAGUCAUAGUUGCUGGACAUAGAACUCUCUCCCUUAAGGAUCCGUAGGGGGAGGGCAUGCUUCAGGUCAGGUUGCCCCGAUGAUUUGACUUCGCUAGUCUUUCAUGUGCUGUACAAGUGGUUCCGCUUGAGCACAUACCAGUGGUCUGUGAGUUUCCUAAUGUUUUUCUAGAAGAGUUACCGGGACUUCCCUCGGAUAAGGAAGUAGAGUUUGCUAUAGAGUUGAUACCAGGUACAGCACCCAUCUCUAGGAGGCCGUACCGGAUGCCACUUAACGAGCUUGCUGAAUGGAAAACCCAGCCGAAGGAACUGCUGGACAAGGGUUUUAUCCGGCCGAGUUCGUCCGAAUGGGGUUGUCUAGUGCUGUUUGUGAAAAAGAAGGAUCAAUCUUUGCGCAUGUGCAUGGACUAUCGCCCACUCAAUGCGGUGACGAUCAAGAAUAAGUAUCCCUUGCCACGGAUUGAUAUCCUGUUCGAUCAGUUGUCAAAGGCAAAAGUGUUCUCCAAGAUAGAUUUGAGGUCUGGGUAUCACCAAAUCAAGAUCCUACGGCAAGAUAUACCAAAGACAGCUUUUUCUACCAGAUAUGGGUUGUAUGAGUACCAUGUCAUGUCCUUCGGAUUGACAAAUGCUCCUGCAUACUAUAUGUACCUGAUGAACUCAGUCUUUAUGUCUGAGUUAGACAAGUUUGUUGUGGUGUUCAUCGAUGACAUUCUGGUCUAUUUAGAGAAUGAGCAAGAUCAUGCUGAGCAUCUAAGGGUCGUGCCGACACAACUGCGAGAACAUCAGUUAUAUGCGAAGUUCAGCAAGUGUGAGUUCUAGCUGAAGAAAGUUCCAUUCCUUGGGCACAUUCUGUCAGAAGAAGGAAUCGCCAUGGAUCCAUCAAAGGUACAGGAAGUUACGGACUGGAAGGCACCAACUUCUAUCUCAGAAGUUUGAAGCUUUCUUGGUUUAGCCGGGUAUUACCGCCGUUUCAUCCCCGACUUCUCUAAGAUUGCUAAGCCAAUGACCAGUUUGCUACAAAAGGAUCAUAAGUUGGCCUGGACAGAGGGGUGUGAAGUAGCUUUCCGCACCUUGCGACAGCUACUGACCACUGCUCCUGUUCUAGCACAACCUAACAUCAAGAAGCCUUUUGAUGUGUUUUGCGACACAUCGAAAAGUGGUUUGGGAUGUGUGCUAAUGCAAGAGGGCGGAGUUAUAGCUUAUGCUUCACGAUAGAUGAGAAAACAUGAAUUCAAAUAUCUGACUCAUGACCUUGAACUAGCAGUUGUUGUGCACGCUCUAAAGAUCUGGAGGCACUAUCUGCUGGGGAAUAAGUGUCAUAUCUAUACGGAACAUAAGAGCCUGAAGUACAUCUUCACUCAAUCUGAGUUGAAUAUGAGGCAGCGAAGAUGGUUAGAGUUGAUCGAGGAUUAUGACCAUGAGGUCCACUACCAUCCGGGCAAGGCUAAUGUGGUAGCAGAUGCCUUAAUCCGUAAACCACAUUAUCAAGUGGUCCAGCCAUUGUUUGAAGAUGGUUUCAAUCUCAUGCAUCCUGAGGUUUUAUGUCACAUACAACUUACUUGUUCACUUGAGAGCCAAGUCAUCGAAGGUCAGAAAAAAGACAAGGGCAUUUCUCAUAUCAAAGAAAAGAUCAUGGGGGAUCCCAAGACACAGUUUCGAGUAGACAAGAAAGGUGUAUUGUGGUUUGAGCAUCGGUUGGUAGUUCCGAAGAAUCAAGAACUAAAGAAUCAAAUCAUGGAUGAAGCACAUCUUUCAAAACUUUCUAUCCACCCUUGGAGUAGUAAGAUGUAUCAGCAUCUAAAGUGUCACUUCUGGUGGACAAAAAUUAAGAAAGAGAUAGCAGCCUAUGUAGCCUGAUGCGACAUGUGUUGCCGAGUCAAAGCUAUACACAUGAAACCCGCAGGGUUGUUGCAACCGUUAUUAGUUCCAGAGUGGAAGUGGGAAGAGGUCAGUAUGGACUUCAUCACAGGUUUGCCAACUAUGCGAAGAGGGAAUGACUCGAUUUGGGUAAUCAUAGAUCGGUUGACCAAGUCGGCUCAUUUCAUUCCAGUUAAGAGCUCGUAUAGACCUCCUGAGUAUGCUGAUUUGUACAUGGCUGAAAUUGUCAAGCUGCAUGGUAUUCCCAAGACCAUCAUAUCAGAUAGAGGUCCAUAGUUCACCGCUCUCUUUUAGGAGCGAAUGCACAAGAGUUUGGGGACCAGUCUAGUGAGAAGCACCGCGUAUCAUCCUCAAACCUCAAGCCAAAUAGAAAGGCUUAAUCAAGUGCUAGAAGAUAUGCUGAGAGCUUGUGUGUUAUCUUCAAGAGGGUCUUGGGAAUCAUGGUUACCUUUGGCUGAAUUCUCUUACAAUAAUAGCUAUCAAGAGAGUAUCAAGAUGGCUCCUUUUGAAGCUUUGUAUGGUCGGAAGUGUAGGACUCUGUUAAAAUGGGUCGAACUUGGUGAGAGGAGAUACUAUGGUAUCGACUUUGUGAAUGAUGCUGAGAAGAAGGUGCAAAUCAUAAAACAACACAUGAGAAUCGCACAGUCAUGACAGAAAAGCUAUGCCGACAAGAGGAGGAGACCACUUGAGUUUAAUGUGGGUGACUAUGUUUACCUCAAGGUUACACCAAUGAAGAAAGUUCAUCGCUUCCGAGUUCAAAGUAAGCUUGCACCAAGAUACAUGGGACCGUAUCAGAUAAUAGAACGGAAAGGCCCUGUGGCCUACAAGGUCCAGUACCUGAAGAGUUGAGCUCGAUCUUUCCAGUUUUUCAUGUAUCCCAGCCGAGAAAGUGUUUGAAGGUACCCGAACAGAGGAUUGAACCUCAGGGGAUCAAGAUAAAGGCAGAUUUGGAUUAUAAAGAGCAACCAGUGGGUAUCGUAGAUACCAAGGAGCGGGUAACCAGGAAUAGAGUUGUCAAAACCUACAAGGUGCAGUUGUGGAGUCAUCAUGAUGAUAGAGACGCCACCUGGGAAACAGAGGAUUACCUAAAAAUAGUUUAUCCAAAAUUUCAUAAGAAAUGGUUAGUAACCCAAAAUCUCGGGAUGAGAUUUCCCUAAGGGGGGAAGGGCUGUAACACCCUAGGUCUUAAGCAUGCAUUUAAUUUCAUAAGCUCACUCAUGAGCAUCCUCAUGAAGCAUAGCAUGAGCAUAGCAUCACCUAAGCAUGGUAGCUUGAAAUUGUGAUUUUAUGUGAUUGAUUUAAAUGAAUUAAAUAUAAUAAAUUUGUAUGCUUGAUUUAAAUUUGCUUGUGAUGACCAAAAUAAGUUGAACUAUGUUUCAAAAGAAUUAAGAAAAAUUUUGUGACAUUUUUGGAGCUCUAGAAUUGGAGAAAUGAAUUUAUUGCAAAAAGCCCCAAAAUGAAUUUAUUUAAAAACCUAGAACUAGUUUUGAGUUGCAUUUCAAAUUUUAUUUGGAAUUUGGAGUUGCAGCUUGAAACAAAGUUGUAGAAUUAUUUAUUUGUGACAACUUUCGUUUUUGGGGCCAAACCUGAAAAAGAUUUUAAAUGAGUUAAAAUGAGCUUGGAAAAUCUUUAGAAAAAAGAGAAAUUCAAAAAAAAAGAGAAAGGGGGCAGGCACUGUUGGGCCGACCUGCCUCCCUUUUGGCCCGCUCAGCCGCGCGGCCCAGCUCCUCCCCGCCUCGCCGCACGCGCGUACACGCCCACCUUUCUCCAUCCGGCGCCGGCCACGUGGCGGCCGUACGUCGGCGACGUGGCCGCGGCCGCCCGGCUCCGACCGGCAUAACCCGGUCGGGAUGCCGCUCCACUCUCUAGGCUCCCCUUUCCUUCUGUCACCCCCACACUUUUGCCCGCAGCCGCUCCCACUCCGCUCUGCCGCGGCGCCAUUGUUGGCCGAAGCUCCGCCGCUCGCCGCCAGCCGUGUUAGUGGGCCAUUCUACGCGCCAAGGCCACCGCCGUGCUCGCCUUCGCCGCGGUAAGCCCCUGCGCACACUCUACCAAGGUGAAAGUCAUCCACAAGCCUGCAGUAGCUCACCGGAGUUCGUCCAACCUCGUCGGAGUGCUCCGCCGCUCCGAAACCCUCCCUCUCUUGCCUUGAUUCGCCUGUUUUUGAGCGUGUUGGGUUCGGGAUGUGAGCAAGCUCUGGUGAUGCUCCGCGCGCGUUCUACCCCGCCGGAGUGGCCUGGCCACGGCGAGCAGCACGGCCGUACCACCAUACACGCCAGCAGGGGUGCUCUGGCCAUUCUCCGGCUAAGCCGAGGGCACCAUCGGGUGCGCCUCGUUGCGGGGAGCACGCUGGUGCUCACGCCGUGGCCGGGGACCUCACCGCCGGCGAGAUCCGCUCAUCGGAGGUGCCCCUCCUCCCUGUUCCGCUGGCCAAUGGGGUCGGGGCACCACUGUCAGCCACACGGGGGUCAGGUUGGGUGCAGAUUUGGGAGUUUCUAGCAUUUUCCAGUGCAGAUUUAAAAAAGGAAUUUCUAAAAUGGUUUUUAGAAAUGUGUUAAUUAGUGUUUAAUUCAUAUCUUGAGAUCUAUGUCUCCAAAAAUGAUGAAAUAAGUUUGAUGCAUUCUAUAAUUCCAGAUCUACAACUUGGUGUAAUUGCAUAUCAUGUUUGUACAACUUUUCUGUGUAAAUAUAAUUAUUCCAUGUUUUUGCUGAUAUUUAGAAAAUGCAUGGUGAAUAGAAUAUAACUCAGAAAAAUGUAAUUCUUGUUUUGUUAACCUUGCAUGGAUGUUUAGUCUAUGGGAAAAUUAUGUGACACAAUAUUUGCUGUAUAAAUUAAUUUAUGGUGAUUUAAAUGCUUGCAUGGCAGUGGUUUAUGAUUUUUAAUAAAUAAUUGGAUCAUGCAAUUAAUAUGAAAAUUUUUAUGGACAUUUCUUAUGUUAGUAAGUAAUUUAUAAAAAUAUGAAAUCUGUUGUUUGACACUUCAUCAUGAGUAGGGUAUUUACACUUAAUUAUAAUAAGUAGAAUUGUGAUUUUUGUGUAGGCCAGAUUACGUGUCUAAAUAUUAUGAAAAAUUUGUGGUGAACUUUAUAAUUAACCAGUGACCUACUGUAAUUUUUGUAGAAUUUAUUGAGGUUCAGAAGUAUAUGCUACUGUUGUAGGCCUAAUAGUAAUUAAAUAAGUCAAACCUUGCUAUGCAUAAGAUAAAUAAAAUAAAUAGUGUUUGGUGUAUCUUUGAAGCACCAUAAUAGCUUGCUGAUUGAUAAUAGUAACUAGUAGAAGAGAAUGGAAUAGAUGCUUUAAAUUGCAUACGUGUUCUUGGAUUAUGUUGACUACCUUGUAGAAAUAGUUUCUUGCUUCAUCCGUACACCAUGUCAUGAUCAUCGUGAUUUAACUUGCACAAGCAUUGCACUUCGAGCAUCACUGCACUCCACUCAUGAGCACAUAUGCAUCAUACAGGCUUGCAGGAGAACGAGGUGGGACCCGAGGAGCAGGAGGAGACCUAGGAGGAGGAACUUCCGGGAGGACCAGGUCCGGAAGGAGAUUUGCAGGAGUGCCCAGACCACAGGCCUAGCACUUUCAAGAAAGGCAAGCCCCGGAGUAUUCUAAGUCUCCCUAUUCUUGCUAACUUAAAUUUGAUAUAUCAUGAUUGUUCUACUAUGCUGCAUUUAAGUGAUAGGAGUUGCUUGAUACCGUUGAUGUAUAAGUACUCCUUGAUAUCACCACUUGUUUAUCUACCUUGUCCUAUGUAGAUAGGCUCGGAGUCUAUGCUUAGCUUGCUUAGUACGGUAAAAGUCAGGUUAUUUCCUGUCACCUGCGAGAUAUAGGUGGAUACCUGAAUGUUAGCUGUCAAUGCUAUGAAGAAAUGUAACCAAGUGUGGAAAGAAAAGUGAGACUAGGUAGGGUCUUAUGGUGGUGCUGACCGUAGUGCCCCUGCCUGUGUCGAUUAAGGACCGAUCGUUGACAGCCCUCUUGUCAUGUUGAACGCAUGCCCCACACUUAGCUAGAAGGAUAAGUUAUUCCGACCGCGAAGCCUGAACACUAUCCGGGCUGGGAAUCGGCCCAAUGUACGCACUGUAUUGGUGAUGGUUGAGGAGAACGACGAGGGCGCGGCGCGCAACCUUGGUAUACCUUGGAUACCUCGGUCGCCGGAACGGUCCUCGGGUACGGGCGGUGCCUGUCGAACCCACGAUUUGGUCAUGGAUAGUGUAACACGGUGACCUGUAGCUCACUUGAUCAGUUAGUGUGGUUUGUGUGGGGAAUAAACUCGCUAGGUGGUUAGAAAUCGAUUCGAAUCGCCAUCGCUCCUGGAUAGUAACCACUUGACUUGAGCUUCGUCCUCGUAGUAAGGACUAUGAAACAAUUGGGUUAUGAUAAGUAAUGAUUUGUGAAUGCUAUGAUAAUGUACUAUCAUAUCACAACACUUGUUUGCAAAAGUACAGGUGCAAAUCUAGAUGAUAGGUAAUAAUACCUAACCUGAGCUAAUUAAAGAAAGGAGUAUGUUAGGUUAUACUUUUAGAGGGGUAAUGCUUUUAUGCAAAAAGGUUUCAGCUACCCCACUAUACAGCCUUAAUGAUCCUUGAAGAGUCUUUUAUUUUGGUUUAUGACGGGUAAGUCUAGCUGAGUACAUUUUCGUACUCAGGGUUCCAUUCCUAUGUUGUUUUGCAGAUGGUCAGAUGUACUAUGGUUAUUGCAUUCACUGCUUGUACCCAUCAAUGGGCGAUGACUAGACCAAGGGCGAUGGUCACUCUACCUCUUCUUUUGCUGUUGUGGGAAUGAUCAAACUAUGGCACUGUAUUAGACUAAGUGUGUGUGUGUGUAAUUUUAAAACUAUGAUGCUUCCGCUACUCUUGAACUUGGUUUGUAAUAACUUUAAUUGAACUCCGAUGUAAUCUUCGAAUGUUGUGGACUGAAUGUAAUUGUGGAUGGUGAUUGCUGGACUUAUUACGAUCUUGGCUGUAUCUAUAGUUUGUGGUUUGAAAUCCCUCGUGAUUUCAUGGACUUCCAGGAUUAUAUGGGCUUAAGCUGGAUGGAUUGACUAUGCAAAUGGUCAUUAUUAGUCUUAAUCUCUUAUAAUUUGGGUGGUUCUAUUACAGAACUUGCGGCUUCAACCACACCGCUGUCUUUGAUGAGCAACUCUUGGACCAAUCAGGUAUAAGAAUCGACUUUCCUACUGUCUUUUAUGCCAUUGGUUGGUGUGGAUUUUAGCAAGUUCCCGAACUUGGUAUAAAAGUCUCUCAAGAAUUUCUUGCCACAAUAAAAUCAAAUGAUACGGGAGUAACUUUUCGCAUGUUCAACAAAGACUAUAGUUUAACUUGGAGUGAGCUAAGUACAUGUAUAGGCUUUGAUCAAGAUUGUGAGCUAGACAUAGAUCAUGCUUUGCAAAAUUUUGACUUAGCUAAAUUCUAGAAGUUGAUUACUUGCUCCAAUAAUCUCUUUGUUCGUAGACCUGUCCAAAUCCAUAACCCAACCUUAAGAUUCAUGUACAUUUGGAUCAUAGUCACUAUCUUCCCUGGUGCUAGCAUGGAUGAUAUAGGCUGUAAAGAAUUGCAAAUCCUUUAUGCCAUGGUAAACAAAAUCAAAUUUUCACCUGUCAAGUGGCUAGUACCUUUCUAGAUUUCCUCCAUUGUACCUAGCAUGCCCCUAUGCUUUACUUCACUUGUCACCAGAAUUACUGAAUCUAUGGGUUUGCUUGAAACAAAUGAAGUAGAGUACAUCCAUGAUGAUAGAUCUAUUUUAGGUUAGUAGAUGUUUAGGAGCACUAAUUUGAUUAAGAGAGAUCCCAGAAAUGGCCUUAAAAUGAUUUAUGGGAACCAUCCUAUUGAGGUCUCUCUCCUCGAUGAGAACCUUUGGUUGUAUAAUGCUUCAUCACUAACCCUAAGGCUAGGAAGAGAGAAUAGAGCCACCCCUGUUGCAGGGACGGACAGGAUGACGAGAGCACAGUCCCGUGCUGCUCAACACUAAGCUGGUUCCUCUUAUGCACCACAAGAAGAGGAUGAGGUGAACUCCAUGGAAACACCUCAUCACUCCAAGACGUCUUCAGCAACGCGCACCCCUCGCCCUCGUGGUAGGGGGAGGCGACAACCACUGUCUGAAAUGGAGACACUUAUCAGCGACAUGGAGAACAUCAACAUCGGACAGCAGACCACCUUGUAGCUCAUGCAAGAGAACAUGGACAUGGCCCAAAGCCUCCAAGCUGAGAGUGAGUACCGAUGGGACCUGUGGUUUGGGUAUCAACCACCCCAGUGAGCAAGAAGGCAAGCUUGGGGGAGAUUCUCUCCCCCACUAAGGUAUGUUUAUCCAAGGUAUAAUUUUAUUCUUGCUUUAUUGCAUUUUGUCUAUUUCCUUCUUGCAUAAUAAAAAAAUCAAAAAAAAUAUUUAUUAGCUUUAUUUCCUUUUUAUAUAUGCUUCAUGUGUGCUACCCUUCCUACGGAAAUGAUGAUGAAAUUGCUAGUUAAUGUCUUUUACUUAGUAUUCUUAACCAUCAUGAACUUGAACAUUGUUGACACCGUUUUUUGACACGUACCUAAAAAAUUAAUGGAGUACGGAUCGGCAGGCAGAAAAGUAAUGCUUGAUUGACAGAAGAGAUUCCGAUGGGUUAUGAUGCCGAUGAUAAGGCAGCAGGAUGUGACCAAGUCCGGGGGUGAUUGAUCUAUGCCGAUGACCGAUAUUGAUGGUUGCCGAUGCCGAUGGAAGGUGAUUUGCCGAUGAUAGUAGAAGAAGGCGCAGGAAUUGUCAAUAGGAUGGUAACAGUGUGACGAUCGCCUGUGGUGGAUAGAUUAAUGUUUUCCAUAGUUACUAGAGUUUGUUUUAUAUAUGUAUUCCGUUCGAUUUGUAAUUAGAAUCCUAGUCGUGUCUGGUUGUAACUCUUUUGGACAGGGUAUAAAUGUAGACCCCGUAGCAAUGUAAGAAAUAAUCACAAUCAAUCAAACACAAGUUUUUACUUCUAUUCUAGCAUCUACUUUUUUGACGACUUUGUCAAUUUGCAUAUUUUCCUUUUACUUACGAGUUCUUAGGAAUUCAUCGAGUCAAACUCGGCGAGUUCUCAAGUUCCGUGUGAAUAACUAAUGGUCGUGGCAUCCGGGCGUAUCGCUGUUGUCGGGACCAAAGUAUUCGAGUUAUCACCUUUGUCGAUUGUAAGGUCAAAUCGGCUGGCACGCCUUAACAUUGAAUCGGGUAUUAGCCCUUUGUGUUUGCAGAUCUACUUUUGCAUCAACACAUCUUUUGGCACACCUAGCGGAACAGAUUCAAAUUCAUCAUCAAGAUCAACAUGUCGAAUACUGACUUCGAUACAGAGAGUAUCAUUGCUAUAACUGAAGCCAGUCUCAGGUAUGAGCAGAAGCAAGCUAUGGCAAAAGCUAUGGAGGAGUACAAGCAGCUGUGUUUGAAAUCCUUCAGGGUCAACAAGAGCGGCGAGGUGAUCCAAAAGGAAGCAUUGCCGAUGCCACGACAAAUCACUUUUGAAGCUAAUCCUAGUAAAUUGCAAGAGAUGGUUGACAAUGCUAUUAAUCACGCUUUAAUCAAUCAAUCCAGUGUGUUGUCCAAUACAGUUUUCAAUGUUGUGGCUAGAACCUUCAAAUAGGGACAGAUACCACCAGCUUGUGUGGGCCCGACCUAUCAUCGGCCAGGAUCAUCAUCGGUUAUGGCUCCAUCGGCUACUCUAGCCGUUGUGGGUACAGAAGUUACUUCUCCUCCAAGCACAUUAGGGAUGACUAAUGGGCAAUCUACACCGAUGAGAACUAACCCAGCAACAUUAGAGGGACAUGUUCAACUUGCUACAGAUCUAUUGGCAUCGGAAAUGUCUGGAUCUGUAUUUAAAAAUUGUCAAGUUCCUCCCAACUGGUGGGGAUAUGGUAUGCCCCCGGACUUUGGUGCAAACAGUUCUAGAACAUCUCAAGUGGCUGACGUGACAAGCAAGGCUCCUAUGACAUCGGCACCCCCAGUAUCGCCGAUGACCCUGAAUCCUCAGUAUUCCACAACUACUACUGCAAGACCUUUUACUUGGAAUUCUCAGAUACCGAUAUUCCACAUGCCUAACGCAUCGGUGGACCCACUGCCGAUGCAUCAAAGAUUUAUGACCCACACAGGGUAUGUCAAUCCAAUGAUAACACCCAACUAUCAGCCAUCGGUAGGACCUAUGCCAAUGAAUGCUAACAAUGGAUGGACAUGGCAGUUUGUCUUUCCACAAAUGACCCAGCAGAAUCAUCAGGCUACAGGAUUCCAGCUGGGACCGAUGUAGUUUGGCUUUCAGAAUCAAGGAUUGGUCAAUCAGCCGAUGAAUCUUGCUUAGCAAGUUGGUGGUCAACAGGUGGCAGCUAAUGCUAUGUUCCCUGGAGAUCGUGCACCUCAGAGACACAUGGAAGCUUAUCAGCAGGUGCCAGAUCCACAACCCGCUCAUCAGUAGGAUGCUGAUGCCUAUUGGACCAAUAAGAUAGCUGAAGUGAUGAGAGAUCUGUUUGGGAUAAAACCCAAAGUCAACACUUAUUCUUAUCGGACACCGUAUCCUCCAGCAUAUGACUUAAUCCCGCUUCCAAAUCGAUACAAGGUGCCGGAUUUCACCAAAUUCUCUGGACAGGAUGACACGUCAACCAUGGAACAUGUUAACAGGUUCAUUAUCCAGUGCGGGGAAGCUGCUAGCAGAGAUGGGCUAAGAGUUUGUUUAUUCUCAUCAUCUUUAUCUGGAUUGGGUGCACUUGGUUUAUUUCAUUACCUCCAAACUCAGUAAUUACUUGGGCCGAUCUAGAGAAGCAGUUUCAUAAAUACUUCUUUUCUGGAGUUCAUGUGAAGAAGAUUACCGAUUUAGACAGGCUAACGCAACGCAAUGAUGAAUCGGUUGAAAGUUUUGUACAAAGGUUGCGGGAUGUCAAGAACAAGUGCUACAGUCUAGUUCAAGACGAUUGGCAGCUAGCCGGUUUGGCUUUCUAGAGAUUGUUGCCGCAUAUCAAGGACAAGUAUGCGUCUCAAGAAUUUGAAAGUUUAAGUCAUUUGGUGCAAACUAUUUCUGAUCAAGACAUCAAGGCUUUUCAACCUAGGAAAGCUUGGAACAAAAAGGUGUCAUUUGUUAAUGAGGUAACAAGCUCAGAUUCUGAUGAAGAACCAAUCAUCGGAUUAGCAGAAUGGGUGAAGAACAAGAAGCCGAUGACUUGUCCUUUUGGCCAUAAAGAACCAAAAAAAUUUGCGUUUGACAUAAAAAAACCGAUAGGAUAUUUGACUUUCUACUUCAGGAGGGGCAAAUUAAAUUGUCAACCAACCAUGUGAUUCCAUCGGCAGAGGAGUUGAAGGAUAUCAAGUAUUACAAAUGACAUAAUGCUACUUCUCAUAGUACAAACGAAUGCAAAGUGUUCAGACAACAGCUGCAAUCCGCUAUAGAGUCUGGGAGGAUUAAUUUUGAUAACUCCAGAACUCAAAGGCUGAUGAAGAUUGAUCAACGUCAUUUCCCCACAAAUAUGUUAGAUGCUAAGGGAAAGACUAAAGUCUUGACUUCGGAGGCAGCUGAAAAGAGCGCAUCGGUGGAUCCUCAGCACCAGAUCACUACCGAUGACGCCAAGGGUAAGGGUUUGAUCCAAGAAGGUACUAGCUCAAGUAGGCCUCCUCGGUCCAGCAUUGUAAUUACCCACAGGAGACAUCGGGAAACGUGGCAGCAGCGUGAGGAUCGAUAUCGUCACCAGCAGGAAGAUCGUCACCGGGAGAGGAAAGACGCUGACAAGAGUGGAAUUGGCAUAAAGAUCAUUGGAAUUUCCCGUUCUUCAUCCACUGCUGGAAGCAGAAUAUUAAAUUACCAACUGUCAGAGACUGCCCUGAAUGCAAUGGCUAUGAUCAGCAUAAUCGAUCAGAUCGAUACUAUCAAGACGAUAAUCGGCGUUUUGAUGGGCCGAUUAGAGGGAGGACAUCAGUGCACGAUCGGCUGGGGGGCAGACUCAGUGUGCAUGAUAGGCUUGGUGAACGUGUCAGCUAUUUUCCUAGAAACCAAGAGGAACUUGAGGAGAUGGUAGAUCCGCGAGUUUCCGAUGAGUUCAUAUUUUUAGGGAUGCUAAUACUUAUCGGGUAGAAUCGAGGGAAAAUUGUCAUCAACCAGUACGGAGAACAUAGCUUCCCCUAUGGUGUCUAGAAGGGUUGACAAGGACACAGAAAAGAAGGCUGCAGUGAGAGCGACAAGAAUAACUGAGCAGGGAAGAGAAUUCCGCUAAGUCUGGAGAUCGGCAGCAAUCAGAUCCCACGGGAAAAGGCCCAUCAACAGAUGUUAAUAUGGUGUUUAUGUUGCCGAUGGAAUUUCUUGCACCUUCCAGUGAUGAUGAGGAGAUAGAUUUUCCUGAUCAGAUAGCUCAGCUGGCUCUCGACCCGAUGACAGCUAUCUUUGAAAAGCCCGCUGACGACGAAAGACAGCAUCUUAAAGCUUUAUUUGUCAAAGGUAGGUUUGAUGGGCAGCCGAUGACCAAGAUACUCAUUGAUGGUGGAGCUUCUAUCAAUAUUAUGCCAUAUGCAAUCUAUCAGAAGCUUGGAAAAGGGGAUCAGGAUUUGACCAAAACCGAUAUGAUGUUGAAAGAUUUUGAAGGAAAUGUGUCUCCGGUCAAAGGAGCCAUAUGUGUUGAAUUGACCAUCGGCAGCAAAACCCUGCCGACGACUUUCUUUGUCAUUAGUGGAGAGGGUGCUUACAAUUUACUACUAGGAAGAGACUGGAUUCAUGCCAAUUGUUGUAUCCCUUCUACAAUGCACCAGUGCUUAGUUCAAUGGGUAGGUGAUAAGAUUGAAAUUGUCCCAGAAGAUUCGUCAUAUGUCAUCGCAUCGGCAAAAGCAGAUACUUAUGAAAGGACCAGAUGUAUUUCAGGAGAAGUUUGGGAGAAGGAUUUUGUCAAAGUUGCCGAUUAUGAAAUUCCACCGAUCCAAGCAGUUGGUUCUGAUGAAGGUUUUUAAUGGAUUGGUUCGCCGAUGAUGGGAAACUAGGCCAGGGGUUUACAUCGGCUGAUGAUUUAGUAGAGGUUGAUAUAGGUAAUGGUGAUAGGCCAAGGCCUACUUUUCUUAGUGCUAAGUUAGAUUCUGAGUGUAAGCAACAAUUAACCGAUUUGUUAAAGGAAUAUAAAGAUUGCUUUGCUUGGGAUUAUAUCAAGAUGCUUGGUUUAGGCCGAUCGAUUGUUGAACAUCGGUUGCCUAUCAAGUUUGGAUUUCGGCCGCAUCAGCAACCAGCAUGCCGAUGCAAUCCUAAUAUUCUUCCUGAUAUUAAGGCCGAAAUAACUAAACUUAUUAAAGCUAAAUUUAUUUGGCAAUGUCGGUAUGCCAAAUGGAUUUCUAAUGUUGUUCCCAUUUACAAGAAGAAUGGGAAACUUCGUGUCUGCAUUGAUUUUAGGAAUCUCAAUAAGGCUACACCGAUGGAUGGUUAUCCAAUGCCGGUUGCCGAUAUGUUGGUUGACGCUGCAGCUGGACAUCGGAUCAUUAGCUUUAUGGAUGGCAAUGCAGGAUACAAUCAAAUAUUUAUGGCUGAAGAAGAUAUUCCCAAGACUGCAUUUAGAUGUCCUGGUCAUGUGGGAUUAUUUGAGUGGAUAGUCAUGACGUUUGGCUUGAAAAAUGCUGGUGCUACUUAUCAGAGGGCUACGAAUUUCAUCUUUCAUGAGUUCAUCGGCAAGCUGGUGGAAAUCUAUAUUGAUGACGUGGUGGUUAAGUCUAGAGAUUUCACAAAGCAUCUAGCCGAUCUGCGAAAGGUGUUGGAGUGCACAAGGAAGCAUGGUUUGAAGAUGAAUCCUAAUAAAUUUGCAUUUGGUGUAUCGGCAGGACAAUUUCUUGGUUUCAUGGUGCAUCAGAGAGGGAUGGAAAUUAGUAGGAAAUCCAUUGGUGCUAUCAAUAAGAUAGUUGCUCCCACCAAUAAAAUUGAACUUCAAUCAUUGAUCGGCAAUAUAAAUUUCAUUAGGCGAUUUAUAUCUAACUUGUCUGGUAAGAUUCGUGCUUUUAGUCCUUUACUUAAGUUAAAAGCCGAUCAAGAAUUUUUGUGGGAGGAAGAGCAACAAUUAGCAUUGGAUAAGAUCAAGAAUUACUUGACAAAUCCUCCAGUUCUGAUCCCACCUCAACAAGGAAAGCCCUUCAGAUUAUACUUGUCUACCGAUGGGAUGGUCAUCGGUUCGGCUCUAAUUCAAGAUUUUGAAGGGAAGGAACGUGUGAUUUAUUAUCUAAGUAGAAGACUGGCGGAUGCUGAAACAAGGUAUUCGGCAAUUGAAAAGUUGUGUUUAUGCUUAUACUUUUCUUGUGUCAAAUUGAGACAUUACUUGCUAUCGGCCGAAUGCACUGUUAUAUGCAAAGAUGAUGUAGUUCGGUACAUGGUAUCUAUGCCGAUUAUGAAUUGUAGAAUCGGCAAGUGGAUUUUGGCUUUGUCGGAAUUUGAUCUACACUAUGAAUCGGCUAAGGCAGUUAAAGGGCAGAUUAUGGCCGAUUUUGUAACUCAGCAUUGUGGUGUAGUGGAUGCUUUGGAAAUCGUUCCUUGGACGCUCUUCUUUGAUGGAUCUACAUGUGACCGGGGGGCAGGAAUCAGCAUAGUGCUAAUUUCUCCUCGGGGAAAGAAAUAUGAGUUUUCUUUGCUGAUUAUUGCUUUGUCAACAAAUAAUCAAGCUAAGUAUCAAGCUUUUAUCAAGGGGUUGGAAUUGUUAAAAGAGGUUCAUGCUGAUGCUGUUGAGAUCUUCGGUGAUUCCAUGCUCGUUAUAAAUCAACUGGCUGAAAUUUACGAUUGCCGAAGUGAGGUUUUGAUAACCUAUUAUGAAAGGAGCAUACAACUGUUAAGGGAAUUCAAGGAUUUCCGAUUGGAGCAUAUUCCUCGAUUGUAUAAUGAAGAAGCCAACCGAUUGGCUCAACACGCCUCAGGGUAUCAACCCAUUUUAAAUAUAUUAUCUGUAGUUGGUGCCGAUGAUUGGAGAAAAUAGAUUAUUGAAUACUUAAAAGAUCCGUCUAGAAAAGUUGAGAGACGUGUCAGGUUUCAAGCAACAAAGUAUGUACUCCUCGAAGAAGAGUUGUAUUAUCGGACAAUAGAUGGUGUUCUGCUCAGAUGUUUGAGUAACGAUGAGGCUAGAAGCUUGAUGGGUGAGAUUCAUGAGGGAGUGUGUGGAGCACAUCAGUCGGCUUUCAAGAUGAAAUGGAUGAUUAGAAGAAACAGAUAUUAUUGGCCGACUAUACUUGAAGAUUGCUUUAAAUACUUCAAAGGGUGUCAAGGAUGUCAGAAGUUUGGCAAUAUUCAAAGGGCGCCCGCAUCGGCCAUGAAUCCUAUUAUUAAACCUUGGCCGUUUCGGGGAUUGGCUAUUGAUCUCAUCGGCCAGAUUUAUCCGCCAUUAAGCAAGGGGCAUAAGUUCAUCUUAGUUGCUACUGAUUAUUUUACUAAAUGGGUUGAAGCUAUUCCUUUGAAGAAAGUGACAUCGGCUAACAUGAUUGAUUUUGUGAAGGAACACAUUGUUUACCGAUUUGGUAUUCCUCAAACAAUCACUACCGAUCAGGGUAUUAUGUUCACAUCAGGAGAGUUUGAUGAAUUUGCAAUCGGCUUGGGAAUUAAAGUGUUGAAUUCUUCUCCUUAUUAUGCUCAAGCUAAUGGACAAGCCAAAGCUUCUAACAAAGGGAUUAUUAAUCUCAUCAAGCGAAAAAUUGAAGAAAAUCCUAGAAGAUGGCACACAUUGUUAAAUGAAGCUUUGUGGUCAUAUCGGAUGGCAUGCCAUGGAUCAACCAAAGUUUUGCCCUAUCAAUUGGUGUAUGGGCACGAUGCGGUGUUACCAUGGGAAAUUAAGACUGGAUCUAGGAGGGUGUCUUUCUAAGAUCAAUUGGCUGCCGAUGACUAUGCUACUUUGAUGAAAGAUGAGUUAGAUGAUUUGGCAGAGCAUCGGUUGAGGGCUUUGAUAAGUAUAGAAGAAAAUAAAAAGAGAGCAGCUAAAUGGUAUGAUAAAAAAGUAAAAGCUAAGGAAUUUGCCAAUGAAGAUUUGGUAUGGAAAUUAAUUCUACCGAUUGGGACUAAAAGUUCAAAAUUUGGAAAAUGGUCUCUUAAUUGGGAAGGUCCUUAUCGGAUAAAUCGGUCUGCUCCUGGCAAUGCUUAUAUUUUAGAAAAUCUUGAAGGAGUUGAAUUUCCCAGAGCAUUAAAUGGAAAAUAUUUAAAGAAGUAUUAUCCAAGUAUUUGGAUUGAUGCAUAGAAGUUCAAAUGCCGAUAACACUCCUAUCGGUUGGAUGAAAUGUAUCUAAGAUCAUGCAUGAUGUUUUAAAGUGCCGAUAACAGUCCUAUCGGCUAGACCAGAAUGAUCAAAAGUUUUUAAGGGCAGAAUGGAACGAAUUGCCAAUGAAGAGCUCACAGAUUUAGCAAAGCUUGAAUAGUCGAUAUGGCGCGCAGACGGAUCUGGUUGGCCUCUUCUAUCUCUCGGAUAUCUUCAUCGACAGAACCCUGUAUUGGUCUCAGCUUCUUCUUCAUCUGCAGUGCUUUACGGGCUUGGAUAUUUCGUUCUUGUUGAAGAGUCUUGAGCAUCUCAGUCAGCUGACCUUCUUCUUGCUGAGCUUGGGUCAGGGCCUCUUCUACUUGUUUGAGCUCAGCUAGUAGGGCUUCCUUUCUUGCUGAUAGGUCGGAAAUCUUCUGCUUCAGCUCAUCCCCUGAGGACUGGAGAAUGCCGAUGCUCUUGUGUUUCUCAUAGGCAAUGCGCUUUACUUGCAUCACUUCCUCUGUGAGCCGGGCGUGAGUGGUUCUAUCAGAAAGACGCUAAGUAGCUUUCUGGUAUUGGAGCUGGCGGCUUUCUAAGUGCGCAGCUUGGAAUAGGACUUCUUCUGUGUCGGCUAGAAUCUGACCACGAAUGGUUUUGAAUAAAGCCUUGGCUAGAUCGGAAUCAUCUAUUAGCUGGGUUGUAUCUUGAUGCAGCAUAGCCAACAGGUCUUCCAGCUUAGCUUUAAUCACUGCCGAUGAGAUUCCUACUGCUUGAGAAGAGCUCGCUUCUUCACCCUCGUCAUCGGAAAUGUCGAUGGCAAUGGAGAAUAGGCUGUCUGGAGAAUCUUGUUCCUAAAAGGGGAAUGGAGAUAAGUUAUCCAAUUAUCAAAUGUUGAUAAUAUAAAGGAUAGAGAUCAGAUAACUUACUUGCUUCGGAGCAAUUUCAUGCCUCUGACGUGGAGAUGCAGCUGGUACUAUGGGUUGAUCGGCUGAAGUUGCCGAUGGAAUAACUUGGACUAAGAAUUUGCAAGGGUGGUUAUCAUUUUCAAAGAUAAAAUUCAUCGAUGAUAAUUCUAUGAUCGAUACUUUACCUUGAGGAGGUAUGGUGAUUAAUUGUUCUGGAGGAAUAGCCGAUGACGUACCCAGGUCAGUCGGAUCGGCAACCUGUUCAGAAACAUCGGCUGGUGCUUCUUGCUGGAGUACUUGUCGAGGAGGAGAAGGUACUUCUUGUGUCUAGGCUUCUGGUGAAGAAGGGGAUGUUUCCACAUGGAUCGGUGACACUGGACGAGGAGGAGAAGAUGGUGCUGUCCUCUGGUGCUUUGGUUGCAACUUGGUGCUCUUGGGGCCUUUUCUCUUGGCUUGGCUAGGCUGGGGGCAUCGGCACUUGUUUGGGCGAUUCCGGUCUUCGCCGAUUUGCCAGUUUGCCGUUACAACAACCAAGAUUUCAUGAGUAAAAGCAUAAAAAGGAUAUUGAUGAAAUUUUGUUGAAAGAUAAAAGUUACCAAUGUUGUUACCGUGGCAGUCGAUGUACCCAGAAAGGAUGAUAUAAGUAUGGGAUGAAAUCAGUGCAAGUAGAGGAAGUUAAGGAGUUUUACCUUCAAGGCCUGUGCUAGAGUAGCAGCAGCUACCGAUUGAGAUACUUUUGACCUCUUGGUGGUCGUCUUCUUGAAGCGCACGUUGCGGUGCGCUAGAGCCGCCAGACUUGGUGCUUGGUGGCCGAUCAAAGAAAUCGGGCCCGAUUGAAGAAGAUCGAUCGGCUUCCCACUCUAGUUGACUGUUCGCGCUAGGUUAUCGACCUGUUGAAAUAAACAUAAAGCGAAUAAGUUGCUGAUAGGAUUAGAAAUAACGGAAGGGUCAAAGUAUCGGUAAAAGACUUACGAUGUCGUCAGGAACUUUGUAGUCGGGGUCGAUCAUGCCGCAGUAUGUGUGAGACGAUGUGCUGAACAGGUGCUCCAUCCACUCCUCCCACCAUUGCUUAUAUAGCUGAGUAAUAAAGAGAGCCGGCACCCAUGCCGAUAGAUCGAUGUCUGUCGUAUCGGCAUUUGGCUGAAGCUGAGCUAUCCUUAACCAUUCAAGCCCACUGGUUAUUGUUUCCCUUGGCUUCACCACAUCAGCAUAACAGAGUCUGAUCGGUAAUUGGCCAAAAGCUAGUUGGCGAGCUAAUGCCGAUGGGUUGUAAAACACAUAAGUGGGACUGGAGUUUUUCCCACUGCCAAGGUGUUUACUGGGAUGGCCCUCGGGGUUAUAAUUGCCAUCAUUAAGUCAUUAUCCUUAUUGAGAGCAUCAUCGAAGGGGUGGAAGAUGAGUGGAAAUCUAGUUUCUAGAUCUUCGUAAGGCAUCCAUGCUCGUUGUUCUUUGGUAAGGUCGUCAUAUAAGGUUUGGAAGAAUCGGCCAAUUUGGUUUUUGUUGCAGCUGGUACUGGGCAGAACUAUAGGAGCCUCGCCAUAAUUGAUGGGCGGACGAGUUGCCGAUUCAUCAUCAGCUAGUUCAUAAUCUUUGGCAAUGUCUCUAGGGAAUCGCUGUGCAAAGAGAUCGAACCGAAGGCGUUUGUGCAUAUGAACAUUUAGCCACAUGUUGAUAAACCACCAGUGGCCUCCUAGGUUGCCGAUGGGUUCCCCUAAUAGAAGCUUCUCAGUCACUUGGUGGAGGAGGUGAUAAGCAGAACCGAGCAAGUAUCGGCCAAGAGGAAAUCGGCCGCCAUCAGCUAGCCUUUCUACUGCCGAUAAGUAGACACAGGUUGGUCCUACUGAUCGGCCACAGAAGACGAACUUAUCCAGCCACAUGUUUAGGAAGGUGGCUAUGACAGAACCGCCCAAUUUAUACAAGUUCAAGUACGACUGUCCCUGUUUAAAACGUUGACACGCGCAUACUCUCGCUUAUAUAAACCCGGUAGUCUGCCGAGUGUCACGAAGGACCUCGGUAAAUCAACUUUACACCAAGAUCGCAUGAUUAAGCAAAUACACAUCACAUACACGGGGAUUUGCAGCGGAAAUAAUAUUACAAAAGAGUUCACAAAUAAUAGUACAAGUUUGGAUUUUCCAAAUUGAUUAGAAAACAAUAUAGCUUUCAAAUGAUUACUGUUGACGGUCCUUAAUGCUCAUAUUUAACCAUCAAUUAAUCAUGGAAAAGGAUCCAAAUGCAACCAACACCUAGACUUAGGGUUUUAUCUGACAGAAUUCCACGAGUUUUGGUGUUUGUCUAUUUCUGCAGGGGGUUAUAAGGAAAUACGGAAGAAAGGCCCACACGUCGGGUUUACAUAGAGAUAUUAACGUGUCGCGCAAUUUUCUAUCAUCUAGAAGACUCCAGAAGCCACGGGACCGAACGGGAGACGUAACGGAGCCGGGCACUGGGCGCCCGCCCUCCCUUACUGGGCGCCCGCCCUCCCCCCUGGACCAAUCAGGGUGAAGUUCGGGGAUCAUGCUCCACCGACCUAAUACUUCAAGGAAAACCACACGAUCAUUGUCGGUUUGAUCCGACGGCCCAGAUUCACUUGAAGGGACUAUAAAACCAGACCCCCUGGCCCCUGGAGAUCAUACCUCUUCUACAGAAUAAAAGCUAGGGUUUCAAUUCUUCAUCCAAGUAGAGAGGAUCCCUCUAGUUCUUCUAGUUCUACCUCUAGUUCAUCUAGAUCUAGUUCUAGUUCAUCUAGUUCUAGUUCUAGUUCCUCUAGUUCUAGUUCUAGUUAGUUCUAGUUGUAAUCUAGAAAAUAGGGAGAGAGAAGAGGAGAGCGGAGGAGGAGCCGGAUCUGUCGGAUCUUCCUCAACAUUGUACCUUUGCAGCAUCUGGUUCGUUCUUCAUCGUUCUCCAGGUUCUUCAAUUCAUAAUCCUGAGUUCUCUAAUUACUUUUAUUUACAUUCAAGUUAUUUAUUGGAUUCCCGCUUGCAUCAAGUGCUCUAGUCUUUAUAACAUUAGAGUAGUAAUUAAUAGAUUAGACGUGGUGUUUAGUCUUCCAAUUACCUGGAAUUGCACCCAAUCCUGCGGAUUGUUGUGGUAGCCUUAGGGUAGUGACAGCCCUAACGGUCGACGUAUUCCACCUCGUUUGGAUCGGUGUUUGUAGGACCGUAGUCGGAGCUUCCUAGCCCCCUUCUCAUCUCUUUCUGUGGUUAGUGUUCUGAUGUCCCGAAAUAGAUAAUCUUGAAGUAACUCUCAGGAAACUUCCUCUCUUCCCACAAAAAUAUUCAUGUAGUUAUCCUUGGGCGAUCUUGGAUCUUAAUUAGUACACUCACGUUCUCUGUGGAAAAUCGAUACUCUGGAAUACUCCCGGGUGAAGGCUACAUCGGUAUCCGUGCGCUUGCGGAUUUUUUCUGUUUGCGUUUAAAAUACCCAACAAGCUUUCUGGCGUCGUUGCCGGGGAACGGUAGCUGUGCUAGUUUCGAACCAAGUCGUCCGUGUAUCCUUUUUCUUUUCCUUUUUUAUCACACUCACCUUACUAUUUUCACCAUACCACAUGUAUUUCACUCUAAGCAUUAAUGAGCAUGGAAUUUAUUUCAUAGCCACUUCAUUUACUCCAUGCUCAUAUGCAACAUCUUCACAAUCCAUUAGUCUCUCCAACAUCACCACAUUCGAGAUCUCCAACCCCCUCUUACUUUCUAUUCAUAAAAACUUUAAAAGGGCGGUUGUCGAUGCAUAUGUCUAUAUUAAAUAUUGCAGAUCUCGUUGAGUUGAUCUUGAUAUAGGUCAGCGUUGGAGGGGAAACCACUCGCCGACAUAAAUUGAUGGUUUCCCAAGGACAAGCUUAGUGUCCUAAAAUAAGCACUGAUCAGAUCGUAACAUAAGCUUUUAAUUAUUUGCAACACUACCUUGUGUAUUGAGCAUAUAAGGAUAAUUGUAAAAAUAUUCCUUCGGGUAUUCUUGUCACUAACCUUUGCAGGAUUGAAGCAAGAAGAUCGGAUGAAUGACAAGCACAAGGUAUGUCCAACCAAUCAUCAUACAACAUUGAAUUAAAUUCAUCCAAACUUGAAUUUUGCAAAAUUCUAGCUUGGGGGAGUACUUUACAUAAAAACAUCCUUUGCCAUGUUGCUAUGUUGGUUGUCCCUACCUUUGAGACAUGCUCAAUUUGUUAAAUACUAAUCACACUACUUCAUCUCCACUUGAGUAGAUCUCUAUAAAUGCUCUCAUGCUACCUUUAUUUGCUUUAGUAUAUGUCUAGGUUUGGAGUAGUUUCAUAUAUCUCUCAAUUAAGCAUGGUGCUUAGCUAGGAAUGAUGAUCUUACUUCCAAGGGAUUUUAAAUUAAGCAUGGUGCUUAGGUUAAAAUGCCCUCCUGAAUCAAAUUAGACAUGGUGUCUAGGUUGAUUUUUGAGCUGAUAGUAUGCUAUAGUAGAUAUGGGAUAUUUUGUUGGAUUAACCCCUGCAGGAAAACUUUCAAUAUCGACCUGGGAAGUCCUGAGAUAAACUCACAUUGGAGACAAAGAGAGAGACACAUAAAGUUUAACAAUUUACACAAGGAAGGCAUAUCUCACAAGAGAUGAUUCAUGGAGGGUGCCAGAAACACGAUGCACAACCGCUAAGAAAGGAAAGCUUCCACAAGGUGAUACUGUACCAUCACUCUUCAAGUAAGGUAACAUCUUAAGGUACUUGACUAUCACUUCUAUAAGCUUUUCCUUGGUUCUGGCAUUCACAUGAAUAAAAGAGACAAACAUGUAUGAUUUACAACUUUAGAUUAAUCAACCCAAUCGAUUCAACAUGUUUAGUCUUUCUACCUUCGUGAUCCCACACUCCUAAUCAUAUAAGCUAAAACAUUGCACAUUCAAUCUUUGGAAGAUAUAAACAAAACAUAAGUAUACAUAGAUUAUCUUUCCAUUAGGUUGAGCGAUGUGAUCUGACAAAUGUUUUAAAUAUUACACUCAUGAUCUUAUUAUCCAUCAACUUGGUCUAUGCUUAAGGAUAGAGAAGAAUAAAUACACUUUUGGUUCUGUUAGUGUUUUCCACCAACAGGGCCCAUGCACUUGAUCUCUGCCUUGUCUCUAUGAGCAGGUACACUUUAAGCAAAACAUGGAAGAGUUUUACAACUCCCAGACUCCACCAAGUGAAGAACCUAGAUCUACGAGCACAAACACGCUGGAGAGACUGGACACUAAGGCAAUCACUGCCCUAAGAUGCUUGAGGACGUAACUACUGGAGUAACCCAUGGAAGUAAUUACUGACCUUCUGCCGGUCAAGAGAGACAAUCCAGGACGCCCCGUCAUCCCGAUCUCCAUCAGGCAUGGUGGACUUCCUAGAAGCACUCUGCGACUUUGGCUCCAGCAUCAACAUUAUGCCCAGGAUACUCUAUGAAAAAUUCAUUACACAUCCUUUACUAGAAACAACCAUGUGUUUGCAGCUUGCAGAUCAGACACUAAGUUUCCCAAAGGGAAUAUUGAAGAACCUCUGCGUCCGAGUUGGUACCUUGUACGCCCCAGCAGACUUCGUGGUGAUAGAGACUAGUACUGAUGAGAGGGCACCCAUCCUAGGGAGGCCAUUCCUGAACACCUUAGGAGCUGUCAUCUACGCUAGUGCUGCCAAGAUCAAUUUCUACAUCAAGGAGAGGAAGGAGACGUUUUCCUUCAAGAACAAGACUACACAAAUCUCAGAGCAAUCCCGACAUGAACCAAGGAAGAGGAUCAACAGGGGGAGCAGGAACAAGCAAAUGUGGACUGAGUCAGCUAAGAUGGUCACUGCAGCUCAACGAGGUCAAGAUCGUCGACUUAAGUCACCGUUCCUGACCAAAAAGGAUGCCGCAAUCACUUAACAGCUCCUGCAUGGAACCAUGUCCCUACAACCAACACACAUUUAGCUCCAGAUGAUUUUAAGGUUAUUGACAUGGGAGAAGACAAGUACGAUCCAUCCAUCAUCCUUAGGAGACCGUUCCUCAGCACCGCUAAAGCAAUCAUCUACAUUGGAAUCGGAGAAGUCCACAUGCACUUCCCCUCUGAGAAGGUACGCUGCUAUUUUACUGACCCUAACUAUAUAGUUGAAGACUCUAAGCAGGUCAGGGCAAGAAGAAUACGACGCAACCGCAACUAGAGGAGGCAAAUCAUCAAGGACGGAUGGGCAGACUAUGAAGGAGAAGUCGUAAGGUCUGAAGACAUACAGCUUGAACAGAACUGUCCUGAGGAGACCGUAGCACCGAGUCAGGUGUGCAGAAAGAAGAUAGUUAUACACGAAGAGCAGGCGCCGUCGGAACCACCGACUACGCCAUCCAGCGAAUCCCAAGAUGAUUGAGAAAACAAAGAAUCCCGUUCGGAGGACUUAAAAACACCGAACGUCUUGCCAAGAGGUAAACUUGGUAGUUAUCCUUUUCUUUUCAAUUAUCUUAAAAUAGUUUGCUUAGUUAAUCAGGUUCAUAUCAUCUCGAAAAGAAAAUAAAAAUGUUAAAAAUAGUAAGCCCCAUGUGAGUAUGCUCAUGGCAUAAAACCCAUAAGUACAUUCACUGUGGUGGCAUAAAAAUGAAAUAAAUAUAUUCCUGUCCUAUAAAAAUAAAAUUAUAAAAAUAGAUUUAUGAUCCCACUAAAAAGUGUAAUAUUUAUUGAGGAGACUCAACAUGAUAAAGGCUAGAUAUUUAUGCUAACACUUAACUAGUUCCACAAGCUUUGUUGUCUAUUUGAGCUCCACAGAAUUCAAGGAUCAAAGAAGACUAGCAGACGGAGGACAUCCUAGUCACCAUCAGGGUGCUGCUGACAUUCAAAUAUACCUUCGCCACCUGCUAGCUACAUCAGAAGGAAUUACGUCAAAAUCCAGCUUGGGGGAGAGCACCUCCAUUUAUCCAGCUAAGUAUUCUACUCACGUUUAUAUUUUACUCAAAUAAUAAAAAGAUGCAUAAUCGUAAAAAACCUAAAUAAAGAUUUUGUGCUUAUAUAUAUAUCUUUGCUUAGUUUGCUAAAUAAAUAAAUAAAUAAAAUUUGCUAUGAACCCUCAUGAUAAGCUCUCACAUGGAAAUGAUGAAUAGUUGCUCUACCAUAAUUAGUUCUCAAAAUUGAAAUCUCUCUCAAGUUUAGGCAUGACUGUUAUUAAUUAAGAUUUGCUCUAAACCUGAACUUGUGGGAAGAGUACUUGAUCUGAAGUCUAAGUCGUUAACGGAUAUGAUAUGGGAAGGUUGAGCUGCUGUUUAUCUGUUCCUAGAGAUGCUAGAAUUCUGGAGAAUUUUAUCUUUGAAAAUCUUUAAAAUGUUGCAUGAUGAGUUCCUGUAUGAUGAGAGUUUAAAAUCCUACCACAGCCAUAUAUACAUGCUUGCUAGACUUUGAGCCACACAUUUACUUUUUACUGCUUAUGAGCAUUGAGUGUGGUCAAGCUGUGUAGACCCUUAGGAACUUGUCAUGUGGUUAAAAUCAAGAUUCACUUGCACGUUCACUCAUAUAUGCUGCUUCCACUCCGGAAGUACCAUCCACAUAUAUCCACCCAUUUCCAUCUCCAGAACCACCCAAAAACAUUCUACUCAUAAUCCGAGAGAGAAUAGCCAAACAACAUUCUCCUAUUUCUGUUUUUCCCUGUGAAAUAAAUGCUCAGGUUAUCUUGUUACUACCACUUGCUAUAUUAUUUCAAGAGAUGAAUGCUCUAAAAAAAAGAGAAAAAAAAGAGAAAGAAUACGAGGAAAUAAAAAGGGGCAAGUGCCCGGAACCUCGAAAGAAAAGAAAAAGUGAGACGAGAGGUAAAAAUGGACAAGUGUCCGACAGUAGAAUUAGGGGUACAAGAUACCCACCUGAGGGAAAAGAAUAAAAAAGAGAAAAUAUAGAGCAUCUCAUUCUCCUCAAAAAGUUUCAAAAGAGCAAGAAAGGUAUGUAUCCCCUCAAAAGAGCAUAAGUAGAAUUAGACUUUCAGUAUUAUCACCAUCAUCACCAUACACCAUUCAUUCACCACACAUGCACAUCUUGAUUUGACUUAUUGACUUGUUCUUCUGGAUCCAUGGUUUGACUAUGCAAUAAAUGUUUUGUAAGUAUGUAUUAGCUGUCUCCCACCUAUGAGCUCCAGAUAUCAAAACCUUAUUAGAGUAGGGUGAGAGAGAAGGCAAUACCACUAUGCCUUAUACCAAAAAUACCACAUACUUUGAGAGAAGGCAUAUACCAUUACUGCCUUGGUAAGGAUCCAGAAAUACCACAAAAGAGAGACUAGAGAGAGUCAUACAAGGAAUCUCUGAGUUUUAUUUGAAAAUCUGCAAAAACUCCAGAGCUAUAGUUAAUCGAAGAACAAGAGACAUGGUGCUUGACUAGACUGUUCUAUCUUUUAACUACUCAAGACAGAAGUGAUGGUUACAAGUCCCAUGGUGAAAGGUAAAUGAGUAAGUUUUAAGUCUUAACAGUUUACUCUAACCAGAGAUGAGAUCUUGUUUAAACGCAUGUGUAUCUUUAAGUUAUGAAACCACUGCAGAAACUCUUGAGUUCAUCUUUGCUCAGGGACGAGCAAAGGUUAAGCUUGGGGGAGCUUGUUGACGGUCCUUAAUGCUCAUAUUUAACCAUCAAUUAAUCAUGGAAAAGGAUCCAAAUGCAACCAACACCUAGACUUAGGGUUUUAUCUGACAGAAUUCCACGAGUUUUGGUGUUUGUCUAUUUCUGCAGGGGGUUAUCAGGAAAUACGGAAGAAAGGCCCACACGUCGGGUUUACAUAGAGAUAUUAACGUGCCGCACAAUUUUCUAUCAUCUAGAAGACUCCAGAAGCCACGGGACCGAACGGGAGACGUAACGGAGCCGGGCACUGGGCGCCCUCCCUCCCUUACUGGGCGCCCGCCCUCCCCCCUGGACCAAUCAGGGUGAAGUUCGGGGAUCAUGCUCCACCGACCUAAUACUUCAAGGAAAACCACACGAUCAAUGUCGGUUUGAUCCGACGGCCCAGAUUCACUUGAAGGGACUAUAAAACUAGACCCCCCUGGCCCCUGGAGAUCAUACCUCUUCUACAGAAUCAAAGCUAGGGUUUCAAUUCUUCAUUCAAGUAGAGAGGAUCCCUCUAGUUCUUCUAGUUCUACCUGUAGUUCAUCUAGAUCUAGUUCUAGUUCAUCUAGUUCUAGUUCUAGUUCCUCUAGUUCUAGUUCUAGUUAGUUCUAGUUGUAAUCUAAAAAAUAGGGAGAGAGAAGAGGAGAGCGGAGGAGGAGCCGGAUCUGUCGGAUCUUCCUCAACAUUGUACCUUUGCAGCAUCUGGUUCGUUCUUCAUCGUUCUCCAGGUUCUUCAAUUCAUAAUCCUGAGUUCUCUAAUUACUUUUAUUUACAUUCAAGUUAUUUAUUGGAUUCCCGC
Molecule: long non-coding RNA, 64689 nt
Filed under: Sorghum bicolor (sorghum)
Lineage: Eukaryota; Viridiplantae; Streptophyta; Magnoliopsida; Poales; Poaceae
Description: long non-coding RNA (SBIC_LNC012324)
Rfam family: Plant small nucleolar RNA R71 (bases 8977-9086)
Source: RNAcentral